Molecule: long non-coding RNA, 53484 nt
Filed under: Physcomitrium patens
Lineage: Eukaryota; Viridiplantae; Streptophyta; Bryopsida; Funariales; Funariaceae
Description: long non-coding RNA (PPAT_LNC010872)
Source: RNAcentral
GCUCUAUUUGUUUGGGAACGUAGUUCAGGUGGAAAUGCUGUUGAGAAAAAGAGUGUAUUCCUGCUUGUUUUCGUGAACAUGAACGUUCAGGAUUCUGCAGUGUUGUGUAUUGUGCAUCUUUAAUUUGAGCUACAAAUCAGUAAUUGAAAUAACGUUUAUUCCUAAUUGUGCGGCUCAUCAUGGUGGCAAGGUAUGCAAGCUGUGUAAUUGGAUACUUGGAGCCGUUUUGGCAGCAGAGAUUUUCAUAAAUGCAUUUAGUUCUGGAUCUAUAGUACAAGGCUUUUUCCUGACAUAGUUAAAUAUAUAACCAAUUAAAUCUCAUAAGAUUUUGCAUAAUAUUAUCAUGUGAUAUAAGAAAAAAAAAAUUAAACAUAUUACUGGGAUUGGGAAGAAAAAUUAUAAUAAAAUUAAGAAUCGAUAUCUUUAUGAAGAUUGAAAAACAAAAACAAGAUACAUCAAAAAAUAUGACAACAGUCAGGCACCAUAUUCUAAGGGAUUUGAUGUGAUGACUAAAAAUACCAAAAAUUAUUUUGAUAUAAUCAAGAAAGUUAAAUAAUGAUGUCAUAAAUUAGAAGACGAACAAAAACCCAUGCCAAACAUUAAAAUAGAUAGAAGAGAUAAAGUAGAAAAUUGUGGCAAUGACAAUUUCAUGGUGAGCAAACAAACUUUAUACAAAUGCAUUCAAAGGAAAUCAUUCUUUGAUCCAGACUUUGUAAAAUGUUGUGCAUCUGAAAUUUAAAGUUAGAGCAUGAAGAGUACAAGGUUGUUGUCUAGGGCUCAAUGUUAUUUACUGGAUUAUACUAACUUUAAGAAUUCAAUCAGAAGGGUGUACAUCAUGAAGCUCGAUGACGGGCUUUCAGCACAUGAAACAGAAUUCCCAAACACCAUCGCCGAAUAAAUACAAUCCACACAAACUAAGGCUACAGACUGCCCCAAUAAGCUUGUCUAGGUAUACGGUGCAGGAGAGAGAGGGCUCACCCCAUGUACAAAUCUAUAAUAUACCAAUGUAAGACACCUUAGUCAAAAACAACCCCUACUUGUUGCCAACAUGAUACAAUUUGAUUCUUAUAGAUCAUAGAACAUGAGGUUAAAGGCUCUGUCGGUGUGCUCCCAAUGCAGAAACGGCUGUAACAAUUACCACCGACUAACAGAUUUUAUCUAAGAUCAACGUUACCAAAAAAGAAAUUUGUGCGAGGAACGAGCAUGCAAAAGAACAUCAACAUCGGUGUCUGUCGGUUCAAUCAUAACCCGUGAAUCAGUCGACCGGGAUUGAAGGAACCGCCAGCUGAAGCCACUGCAGCAGGAUUCACCACUUUGAAAAAGAAAAGAGGUUUCGAGCUUUCACCCAACGAAGGCUCUCUCCGUUGCCACCAUAGAUUAGAUUUCAUUGUUUUGUGUGCCUUAUACAGGAAGCAUUCAACUCUGCAAUCAUAUGGCCAAAAAUUAACAGCAGACUAAAAUCGGACACGAAAAUAUACUCCAACUGUCUUAUUGUGCUGAAAGAAAGUUGAGAGAACAGGUCUGGCGGUGGAACUUUGUCUCUGCCAACAAGACAAUCAAUCACUCUUGAAUGAAAUAUUGCUAACAUACCAGUAUAAGGUCAAGGCCAUACCUGUGCCGUAUUCCCCACCGAAGGCAGCAUUUCCAUUUGCUGGAUUCUGCGUUGCACAUUACGUUCUUGACAACAUUCCAACACCAACCUAAUAAACGUGCCCAAUCCAAGUACCACGAGAACUCCUAUACAGGGAUCAUCACCACACUAGGGUUAAGCUACAACGUCCAACAAUGGGCAUAAAUGGUAGAGUGUGGACAAAUGGUCACGAGGUUAUAUGCGCGCGGAGAAUGGAAGCAAGGUCGAGCCGAACCCCCGAGAUAGACAAAGGUGAAGAACAAGGAGGAAAAAAAUGUCUUACCAAAGAUGAAACCUAUCGGAAUUGCAGCGUAUCCAAUUGUAGAUUUGUUGAUGGAAUCCACGAAGAGGUAAGUCAUGAAUGCAAGAACGCCCAACCAUAAAACUAGAACCAACGGAUGCCUCCUCACAACUGUAAGAAGCACGGGUCGGUUUAACAUCAGUCCACUCUCAAGUCCCGCUUGGCUGCUUCCUCCCGCAUGCGAUGACAUCGGAGUUUGCCCGCCAAUGGCAGACUGUCCUCCAAGUCGCCACACCCAGAAAUGCGGCUGUUGCAAAUAAAAGCCACAUUUCAGCAAUUUAGCAUUCAAUCAAUUCACAAAAAUGAAAUACAAAGGCAAUCAUGAUCAUAAGAAAGAACCAAUACUUUCAUGCAAUCACGGUCAAUGGAAGUUCCACGUACCGCAGGUGUUGUCCCUGGCGCUGGAAUGUUUUCCGCAACACACCUAGAAAUGUCAAAAUAAAAUCGCAGAAGGCAUUAGUGACAUCAGAACUCUUAACAAAAUGAUUUUUCUUUUUCUUGUCAGACUCGCUUAACUCUGUAGGACGGCCGUGACUAAGAACAUUUCCAUAUCAGAUAAUAGCGGUAGAAAGUAUUGGAACUCACUGGCAAACCUCGCACUUAUUAGUCCCUUUAUUCUUAAACCAUGUCUCGAUGCAUGAUUUGUGCGACUUCGCCAUCUCUCCUCGACACGCGCAUCCCAGCUCAAUGAGCGGCUCCUCCGAUCGCUGCUGACAAAUUCUAGUCACGCACAGAAUUCAACAUAAAUAUCAGUCACACUAUCCCGAGAUAAGGACCAGGUUAAUAACCUAAAUCUCUUUCUCCAGAACAUAGUCGCAGAGGUCUCCACAAGUCAUCAGUUACCUGCAGUGCUCUGCGGCACUAUCUGUGCUCCACGAACUGAUGGUGCGCCCAGGCCCGGAUGCAAAGACGAAUGUUCGCACCGUCUCCAGGUCCACACUGCUGGCUAAUUGCGCAUCCGGAAUGACCACCGCCGAGUGACCGAGGUCCGCUGGGGUAUUACGACGGGACAAAGCAACCACAGCAUCGCUGCUCGCCCCCAUGACUCUCGGUGGAAGCCACGCUUGUCUGCUUUGUGCUAUCGCAUCACUGCUUGUCCUGUAAACUCCCGAAGGCUCCGAUUGUCGGCUUUGCGCAACGGCAUCGCUGCUCGUCCUGAAUAUACCCCGACGUUCAGGUUGUGGCCUUGCCACAGGCUUUGGGAGAAACAGCGGCCUUGCAGUCACAGCGUCCUGGUCAUGAUUCUCUUCUGCUAAGUUCGAUUGCUCUCGGUGAUCUGUGGAGCUUCCGAUGCCAAUAUGCGAGAGCUUCUCCAAGGGAUCAUAAUGCUCAGGCAACCUCUCUUCGGGCACACGAUCAAUCACAAAGCCAGUUCCGCCUUCAUGCUGCGACAACCCAGUGAAUCUAGAAGUCUGGCCGAUCUCGGAGCGGCGACGGGCUCGCACUAAGCCCUCAUCUGUGCGCGUACGCGCAAGCGGCAGAGCGGGGCCACCGCGCGGCUGCUGGUGCGUCACUAACAAGGAAGAAUCUACCGACCGCGCUGGUCGAAGCGACACAUGCAAUUGCUCUUCGAAAUCAUCUUCACCCACCUGCGCCUUAACCCCCUUGAUGAGGGAAUUGAACCGCUGCAGCAUGGUGCCUACAUGCUUUCCUAACAGAAACUACGCGAUAACGACGACGACGACAGUGCCCAUCUCAGUGCCCACAGAUUGAAACCCCUCACAAAGUUUUGUUUUUUCCCCUAUCUAAAUUAUGACACUCUGUCUGCAAACAGGGAAACUCCAGUCUAUGCAGGGAGAACGAAGACCAUAUUUCGAUUCCCUGCUGUAAGCAACCCGAAAUCAAUUACGUACAACACAAAAACAAGGAUCCUGCCUGUAUGAUCACAACCACUCCAAUCCCUCAACUAAUCGCUGUCGAUUUCAAUGUUAACAGUAAAGCGACACCGGGCCACUUUUGGGGUCACAAUGAGCAGCGUGAGAUAUGGGGUCAGGUUAUAGACUAAAAAACACAGCGAAGGCAGGUGCUGCGGUGUUAUCUCACAAGGUUGGCAGGGAUUGUAGUGUGGCCCACGACGAGUUGGGUUUCUCGUGGGAGGCUGAGCUAACACCGCUAGACUCUCACUUUGCGAAGCAAUGCAUUUCCUUUGUCGAUAUGCGGUUGAUUGCCAGCGAUGCGGAUGCUGCUACGUGGAGGCCAUCAUUGCUGCCAACUUUAAAACCAUCACACACAGCUGUCUUUCACGCCGGAGUUCAAUGGCAUAAAUACUAAAUAAAACUUUUUGUAGGUCCAUGAUCUUAACAGCCACAAAACUGGUUUAAAAUGAUGACGCACCCCCCAAAUGAUGAAGUUGACUCCCUCCACAAUUACUCCGUUUACCUUUGAACCCUACUUUAGCAAUCCCUCGAUCGACGAUGCCGUGUUGCGAAAAUCGGCUUCUAGUGGCUUUUGUGUUUACCAAACUGCUUCCUGUCCAGGUGCCUUAAAAAAUGCAUCUCCUCUUUAACCAACACUGUUGUAUUUGACUAUUGUAUAAAACUCAAUAGUAGGCGGUGACAACAGUUGCGGAUGGGAGGAAUUUGCACCAGAGAAAACUACUGACCCCUCCGUGUUAAAGAUGGUGAUUCUUUUUAUGCAAUAACGUGUACGCUUGGAUUGAAGUGUGCACAGGUUUGGGGGACUUGCAUCCAUACCAUGGUCCAAGUUUUUCACACGAACUUUAAAGAAAAUCUACCAAGAGGUGUGAAGUGGUGUGAAGGUUGAUGGGUAGUUUUGGCACUGGGUUCCAUCUCAAUGGAACUUUUUUAAUGAAUGGGAAAAAGUGACUUCCUCCUUGUUUUGAUAGACAUUAAAAAUUUGGUACAUUCAUCUUUUGCAAUAACAUCUCAUUUUUAUUUUAUUUUAUUUUCUUACACAACCUUGUUCUUUUAUUAUUCUCACAAAUUUUGAUUUUGCAACAUUGAGUUAAUUUUAUCAAAAAACAUGAAUAAUAUUUAGGAUAAUUUCUUUUAGGGUAAAUGAUAUAUCAAACAAAAUGAAAGCAAUGAAGAAUUCAAUACAUACUCACCACCAUAAAGCAUAUUAUUCUUAUAAUGUAUUUUUGUAGUGCUGCUGGUGCACUAACUGAUUACAAAAAGCACUGAGAAAGUUUUGAAGAACUGCAAAAUAUUGUUUAAGAGUUGAAAAUUCACAUUCCAACUCAUUUUGCGUUUCAAGUCCACCAAUCAAAUGGCUAAAAACCUUAGAAUUGUCAAUGUACAAAAAUAAAUAUAUAAAUAAUACUUGCUAAUUUUUAAUUUCUUUUAGAUUCCUUGCACUGAAAGGCAUUUUAGCACCACAACACAACUUUUGGUCCACAUUCCACCAAAAUGAAAAACACAAAAUACAGCUUCUUUUAUCUUUGAUUUUUGAAAAAUACUCAUGUAGAAAUUACAGCAAAAUAUCAUCUAUUUGAGAUGAUUCUCGAAUUUUAUCACACCAAUAACAAUAGAUAUAAAAUCAAAUUAAAAGUUGUUUUCUUGAAACUAAAUAUUAAAAUAUUCAUGUCAAUUUUGCAAGUUAAAAUAAAAUAUAAUAAAAAUGUAAAUAAAAUCAUAAUUUUAUGUAAUACUUCUUACAUCUUAUUAAAUAUAAAUUUAUUUAAAACAAUUAUUUUUUUACUAUCUAUAUUUAUUUUAAAUUAUUUAUUUAAAAAUAUACUUGAAAUAGUUUAUGUAUAUACAUUUGCAUAAAUAUUUAUUUUUUUAUCGAAAAGUAAUAAAAAUUAAGAAAUAAAAAAACACAUAAAAUAGACAUUCAAUAGUCAAGAUUGCAUUCUUUUCUAAGUUUAAUUAAGUAAAAAAAUGAAUUGAAUUCAUAAGAGAUACAUCUAAAGAAAAACUUUAAAUAAUUUUUUAAAAAAACUACCGUUAAUAAGAUUGGUGUUUUAUUUUUAUUUUUUGUUAUUUUUAGAACUAAUUCAUAUUGAAAAAAUUAAAAUUACAAAAGAAAAAGGUAGUUACUCAUUUAAAAAAAAGUUUAUAUAGCUUAAAUAUUAGACUUUAUAUUAAGAGAAUUUAUUAAGAUACUUUUAGUUUAUUAGUUUAAUUUUUUUGAUAAACUUAGUUUUAUUUUUAAGUAAUAAUAAUUAUUUUAUAAUAAUAAAAACUUAAAAUAAAAAAUCAUUCAAUUCGAAAGUAAACUGAGACAAAUCAAAUUAUUAAAUAUAAUUAUAAAACCAUGAUAAAGUGAUAAUAAAAGAAUUAUUUGAAGUUUUGAUAAAAAAAAAAAUAUAUUUUUUAUCAAGUUAAAAUGACUAAUAAUAAAUAUAUUAUAAUAAAUAAAUAUAAAAUAUAUAAAAAUUUAUUUUAUUUAAAUAAAAUAUCAUAUAUACAUAUAUACUUAAAAAUUUUAUUGGGUAAUACAAGUUAUCAAAUUAUAGAAUUUUUUUUUGAAUUUGAUAGAAUAAUUAUCCAAUAAAAUUAAUAUAUUAAUCUUAGAGAGUUAGGAUUAUAUAUAUAUAUAUAUAUAUUUUAGUAGUAGUAAAGACUUGAAUUUUAUUGGAUAAUUAUUCUAUAUAUAUAUAUAUUCAUAUUUGAUAGAAUAAUUAUCCAAUAAAAUGAAUUUUCUAUUGUAAUCUAUUCUAAUAAUUAAAUUGCUUGCCAAGUUUUCAUUUCUAGGCAAUACAACGUCUUUAAGGUACUCAGUCCUGUCAAUAAUGAACAUGUAGAAACUUAAGCUUUGCCAAUAUAAUUGAGUCAAUUCUACGACAAGAAAAAAAUUAUUUUAUUUUUAGCUUAAAUAAAUAUUUAACCUUGUAGAAGUACCAUCUCACAAGAAAAUUAGUAGCAUCUUUGCCAAGAGAUAUUCAUUUAUGAACACCAAUCUUACUAAGUCUAGUACCAAAAAACAACACAAUAUUGCCAAUCUAUAACUUGAUGAAAUAUUAAUACUUUGGAACUCUAAUGCAAGACAUGUUUCAUAAGUAUUUUAAUUGAUUUGAUGAAGAAAAAUAUCAAAUUUCUUUCUAUAUCACUAGAUCAAGCGCAACAAGUCACAUUAUUUCUAAAAUAGAAGUAACAAGUACCUCAACUUUUAUUGUGACUACAACUAAAAGACUUCAAUGACUAGCCUUAUUUGUUUUGCAAAUGGCUAAAAAGCUUGAAUAAAAAGUAAUGGUAGAUGAUUGUCAUAUUUAAGGAAAUACGUUGGUAUAUAACAUUGAUUAUUUCUUUAUUUUACAAAAUAUGUUUUUUUAUAGCAUUGUUGAAAUUAUCUUCACUAAUGUAGACAUAUGUAUGUUGCCUCAAAAUAUAACUUCAAAAAUGGAACACAUGGAUGUUGGCAUCAUUGCUACUUUUAAUUACUUGUAUUAUUAUUUCUAAUUGCAACAUAGAAUUGAGACAAGCUUGACGAGUGCAACUUACACAAAGUUGAUCAACUCACUAUAUUAAAAUGAAACAAAGCCACAUGAAAUAAUAGCUUUGCAAUCACUAUUGUCAAUUAUUUUUUGCACAUUAGAUUGUAUGACAAUAAAAAAAAUAAAUAGAUGAUAUGGUAGAAACUGCUUGCUUAGAUUAACCAAUAUUGCAAAUGAACAAGCUUAAAGAAGGCAAUUUGAUAGCAAACUAUACACUUUGCAUAAAAAAUCCUAUAUAAAUUAAUGCCUUAUUUAAUAUUAUUAAAGUUAUAUUUUUUUAUUACUUCAAUUUUAAUUUUUUAAAUAGAUAGAUAACUAGAUAGGUAUAUAGCUAGAUAAAUAGAUAUAUGAAAUUUGCAAUAAAUAUAUGUAUUAUUCUUAAGAAACUAAUUAUAAAAAUAAAAACCAUAAACAAUUAAUAUUUAUAUAUCUUGUAUAUAUUAAAUUUAUUUCUUUGCUUUUAACUUAACUUGUGUUGGAUUUAUACAAAUAUGAUGUAGCUCAAAUUUUCAUGUUUUAAUUGCUAAGUUUUAACCAUAUAACUUUAAAACUAUCAUACAUGUAUAUUUGAGGCAUAUUAUUAAAUUUAUAGUAAAUAAAUUUUUUUAUCCUUUUAUAUAAAAUUUAUAUUUUAUAAGUAAUAUUAUUAAAACCAUCAAUAGAUUUUUGAGAAUAUAUUAAUAUUAUGCCACAUCUAAAUACAUUUAACAUCAAUAAUACUAUAUAAAUACAUAUGCAUGGUCUUCAUAUUUUUAAUUCGUCAUUUUGGAAUUUUAUUUUUAUAAUAUUUAUGAAAUAUAAAUUAACCUUUAAUUGCUAUACAUAGUUUAUUAAGAUAAAAAUAUGAUUGUAUUUAUUUUAUGACACAAUUUUGUUAUAUAAUAUAAUUUCUUUCAUGGCUCUAUUAUCAAUAACAAAAAAAAAAGAAAUAAAAUACAUGUAAUAAAAAAUAUACUAUUAUAAUUUUUAUUUUUUAUUUUUUAUUCUUAACUUGUCAAGAAAGCAAGAUUUUCAAAAUGAUGAAGAUUUCACAAUGAAGCAAACAAACAAUGAAUCAAAUCAGUUGUUUGAUAAUAAAAUUUAAAUCCCAUAUAUCUGAAUCAAUAUAUAUUGCAAAUACUUUCCAAUUCAAUUUACUAGCAUGUGGCACUUCUUUUUUCAAAUCUUCAAAUUUAUUCUUGGCAAUUACAAAAUCUAUUAGAAAUAUGAGAGAGUACUAGAAGCACACAAAUGAGCUUUGGAGAACCAAAUGGCAUAAGAAUGGAUACAAAUUGGCUAGAGAAAAUAAAGCUAGUUGUGUGAGCAGAAGAACACAAAGAUCAUGGUAAGGCACUUGGCUCUCCAAGAAGAAAAUAAUGAUCUUAUCUUAUUUCCUAUAACAUAAGAUGUUGUCUUGCUUGAGAAUGCACAAAUCAUUUAGCUAUGGAAUAUAAACUAGAGAUUGCAAUAACCAAAGAUCGUAAGAAUCCAAUUUUUUUUUUUAAUAAUUUAUAUUUAAAUCUUAACUAUCUUUAUCAAUUUUUAAUCAUUUCUAAAGUAAUCUUAAAAAAAUAUUUAGAAAAAUCAUAAAAAAAAUUGAAAACUAUAUAUAUAUAAUAAAUCCUAAAUAUAUCUUCAUAAAAUUUUAACCAAAUUUUAAUUAAAUUUUUAUUAAAUUCUAAAUUUUUUUUAACAAAUCCCUAUAAUAGUAUUAAAAUCUCAAUAACUAUUAAUAAAACCAUCAAUUUUGAGUAAAUAAUUUUAUAAAUUUCAAUAUUUAAGCAAAAAAUAAGCAUUCAAACUUUGAAAAAUAAAACUUAUUAAUUUUAAAAAAAGAACUCCUAAUUUGCUUAAGUAUUAGUUGUUAUCUUUUUCUAAUAUUGAUAUUGAUUUUUAAGUCAAAAUAAUUUAUAACUGAAUUAUAUACUUACUUUCUAAACUUAUAAAAUUAAUAAAAAUUAACUUCAUUAUAUACUAAAAAUAUUUUUUUUGAUUUAAAUAGUAGAUUUUAUAGAAUGACAAAAAUACUUAUUAAUUUUAGAAUUAGAAAACUAAAAUCUUAAUCCAAUCAAAUUCUAAUAUCCUUUAAUUUGACCAUUGGGUUAAUCUUAAUUUUAUAGAAAUUUUAAUUAAUUUUUUUUUUAAAAAAAUGUAUUUUCAAAGUAAAAAAAAAUUAUUUUUUCAUUUGAUAAAAUAUUUUAAAUUAUUUUAAAUAUGCAAUUUUUUUAUAAUUUUCAUAAUCCAAUUCUAUAAGAGUAAUCUUUGACUUUAUGAAGCUCUUAUAAACUCAAAAUUAAUCCAAAUCACUUGAAAUUAAUGCUUAAACAAAUCAUCAAAUGUCUUCACUGUAAUCUUAUUUUUCAUAAUGUAAAGUAGUAGUAUUAUGGACAUAAAUACUUAUUCUAGUAAUUACCUAUAUAAUUAGAUAAAAAUAAAUAAAAAUAAAUUGAAUUAGAUUAAUUUUAUAAUAUCUUCUAGAAAGGCUUCCUAAAAGCUUCAUAGAUAUAGUUCUGACUUUACAUGUUGCCGUAUUGUAUGCUUUUCUAUCUAAGAAUAUAUUAGGUACCUUAAAUUAUUGAUUAUUAUCUACUUCUAUAAAAAGUAAUAUUAUUUAUCUUCUUUUUAAGAUAUUCAUUACUUUAUAUAGAUCUAAAAUAGAUACAUUGUUGUAUUACAUGUUGUCUUAUUUAGGAAUGCACUAGACACCUAGCUUUAGAAGGCGAGGUUGUGUUUCAUAAGUAUCUAAGAAACCCUAAUAGAUUUCAUCCAUAUGAGAAGAAUAUAAUCCAAAUUUCAAUUCAAAAGUGCUAAAACACACUCUUUUUAGUAUCCAUAAUCAUAUAUAAAUCCCAAUUACCUUGUUACUUUCAUAUUUAAGGAAUUUAGAUUUUUCUUAUAAGCUCCAAUCUUAAUCAAUGAGCUUUAAUAAGCUGUAACUUCUAAUCUAACUAUCCACUUCAUAUAAAAUUUUGUAUCCAAUUAUCAAUAUAAGUCUUCUAUACGCUAAAGAAUUUUUAGCCCAAUUCAACUUAUAGAGUAUGAGAAAACCUCCAAAAACUAUAUUGAUGUCACUUGGAUGUUAACUUAAAAAAUAAAGCAAAAAUCCUGGUAGUGAUUUCUCCUUCUUUAACUAUUAACUUUAACUCAAAAUUGGUAUGCAACUUGAUCUUUAAGUCCUUCAAGAUCAAGCCCAAAUUUACCUUGAUCCAAUUGAUAGAUCUCUAGAUAUCACAAAAAUCCUACUCAAUCCCAAACUGCCAACUUUUAAAAUUGUAAAGCUACAAAUGAAAGCUCUUGAUUUAAAUCUGCUGGUUGUUGGUUCUCCAUCUCCUUAGCAUCUUAAAUGUACAUAAGCUAUAAAGAAAGAUAGAAGAUAGAAUAUAAUCUUUCUUUAAUCUUGUUUCUUUUAUAGGUGAGAUUUGCUAUUCUUCAUCUUGAUUUUGAUGGAUUUCAUUGAUGAAAAGCUUCAACUUUCUUUAUUACAUUUGUAAGAUAUUUUGAUGGCUUCCAUGUGUGUUCACUAAUAUCAUAUUUGUACCAAUGAAGAAGAUAUUCUAACCUAUUUCGAUGCCGCCUUGAGUCUAAGACUUCUUCUACCUCGAACUUUUGAUUAUUAUCUAUGAAGUUUAUGUUCUUCUGUGUUCUUAAAGUAGAUUAGAAUGCUGUCUAAAUAGCAAAUGAUAAAAUCAUCUAAAAACUCAUAAAAACCAUCAUUUAUAAAAUGUUGAAAAUCAAUCGGUGCAUUCGUGAGUCUAAAAGGCAUGAUAUUAUAUUCAAAAUAUCCAUAAUUAGCUCAAAAAGCAAUCUUCUAUUCAUCUCCUUCUUUGAUAUGAAUUAAGUUGUAUGCUCCUCGUAGAUCUAUUUUGGUAUAGAUCUUUGCUUGAUUGAGUUGAUCAAGAAGUCCUGAAAUCAAAGACAAAUAAUAUCUAUUCUUGAUCGUGAUCUUAUUGAGUCCUUGAUAAUCCACAUACAUCCACAUAGAUCCAUCUUUCUUCUUCACAAAUAAGAUAGGAACUUUGGCUGGGAAUUUAGAAUGGCGUAUGAAGUUCUCUGCCAAAUUUUCAUCAAUAUACUCCUUUAAUGCAUCUAAUUCAUUCUACAAUAAGCUAUAGAUUGAUCCAAAUGGUAGUUAAGUUCCUUCUUACAAAUCAAUUGAACAAUCAUAAGGUCAAUAAUCUAGAAGAAUAUCUACAUUCUUCUUUUAAAAAAUAUCUUGGAAUUCUUCAUAUUGGCUAGGAAUACCACUUGACUUUUUUUCACCAUUAGAAAUGGGCAUAGCAUAUAUAACAAAAGAUGAUCCUUCUUUUGCAGCAUGCAUGAAAGCUCUCGCUCCUAUGAAGUUAGAUUUGGAAGUACUAAACUUUUAUACUUCUACUCUGCUAAUUCGAUCUUAGAUUAUACUAUCAAAAAAAUGAAGGUUAUAUUUUUUUAGCCAUAAUAAUCCUAAAACAAUCGGAUUGGAAAGAGAUCUUAUUACAUUAAAUACUACUAUGUUUUUAUGAUCUUUAAAUAUUACAUCUAAAAGAACAACCUCAUGAAUAACAUUUCCAAAAGACAACAGACGACCUUCUAUGACUUCUACAUAUUUGGAUUUUGUUUUUUUGAUUAAAGAUAUUUUUUGAUUUUUGACAAAAUCUUCAUCUAUAAAAUAGGUUGAGGCUCUUGAAUCUAAUUAGGCAAGCACUCUGUGAUUUUUAGGUCUUAAACGUACUUCCAUUGUAAAAAAAAGUGAGGGAUCUGAUGAGAGAAUAGGACCUUUACUAGGUGUUGCUUAUGAUUCCAGCCGCAUGGUCCUUGUUGUAGCUAAAGAAACUCGUUUUUUGACACACUAUCUUCUUUGGUAAUUGUGCUUUUCAUUUUAUUAUUGCGUUGGUUUUUUGGACAAUGUUGAGCAAUGAGCUUAGUUUCUCUACAGUAUAAACACAAAUCCUAUUGGCAACAUCAAGUUUUUUCGUCCUUUGUGAGAAUUUUAAAGUAUAUCAUAUCAAUUUGCAUUCGUUUUGGCCUUGAUGAAUACGUUUCAAAAUACUUAGAAGUUGCUGCCAUUACUUGAUUUAUUCUUAUUGAGCCAAAUCUUUGUUCUAGAUGCCUUUCAAAUAAUUGAUUCUUGCAUGCAAUGGCUUAAGCAAUUAAUUAUUUGAAAGAUUUUAUUUUUGGCAUUGUUAAUAACAAAUCUUUGAUGCUAUUCUUUAAUCCAUAUCGAAAUUGAUUGAUGAGUGCUUUGUCAUUUCAGUCCAUAUUACAAGUAAGAUUUUGGAAUUUAGUAGCAUAUGUAGUGGCUGAUCAUUAUCCUUAUUGUAAAGAUAAAAGUUUGGUCUUUGCUACUUAUUUUAGAUCACUUUCUCCAAAUAUGGCUAUAAACACUUCUAGGAAUGAAUUCAAAUAAUGAAGGAGUCACAAAUCUUUUUCUAUUAAAGGUACAAACCAAGAAAGAGUACUUCUUGAUAGAAGUAUGUUUAUGAAUCCAACUUGAGUAAAUCCAUCAAGAUAUUGAAAAAGAUGCAAUCUUAGAUAGAGCUUGAUUUGUUGUAAAAAUCUUCAAAAUUUUGAUCUUGUUCCAUCAAAAUUUUCAAGCAUACUAAUCCUUGUCCCCAUCAUACUUGUAGAAACAAAACUCCCUAGAUUUGGUUGUGAGGUCGAUCUAAUUGCUUCCUUUAAUUGUACAACUUCUUGCCACAAACUUUGAACUUCUUCUAUGGGUAUAGGCAUAGAACCUCCAUGAUUCACGUUAGAAAUAUAUGAGAUUUGUACUCUAAGAAUAUUGAUAAGCUCAUGUAGAUCUGCAAUAGUUGUAAAUCUAUUCUCACUUUUGCUAGGUGAAGUAUCUAUAAUCUUUCUUUGCAUAGGCAACUCAAAUAAAUCCAAAAAGUUAAAUUAGAGGAAGAUAAUCUACAACCUCUAAUAAAAAUAUCCAAAAAGAGAGAUAAUCUACUUUCUUUAAGGAAAGAUCACUGUUAGAAAAUAAGAUUUUUAUUACUUAAAAGGUGAUUAGACUGUAAUCUUUACAAUACAAUAAUAGAAGUGAGAUAAUCCAUUCACUUCUAAAAUAAGACAAAAAUAAUAUGUUAGUACUCUUAUCAAACUGUCAAGGACAUGAAUCUCAAAGAAAGAGAAUCCUUGAUACACUCUUAUUUCACUAAAGAGAACUAAAAAAUCACUCCAAAGAUAAUGUAAUAUUAAUUAGAAUGGCUAUUGUCAAAAAAAAAAAGUCUAGAAAGUUUUGAAACAAGACUAUGGACUAGAAUGGCAUUGACAAGAGUGAAAAAGGCUUCUUUCUUACCUCCAUAUAUACUCUUAAGUAGGAGUUAUGUGACAAUGUCAUAUAAGACCUCCAAGUCAUGUUGACUCUAUUAGCCACAAGACAAGUUAUGUAUGUAUGCGUCACAUGGUUAACUUAUUCCACAAGUUAUUAUGUAGAGUUAACUUGUUCCACAAGCUAUCAACAUGUAGUUAACUUGUUGGCUAAGUUUUUGAUCUACAAACACAUCUAAAGUCAAAAUUUCAUCUAUAAAGCUUCUAGAAAGCUUCAUUAAAAGAUUUUAUGAAAUUAAUCUAUAAUUACCUACUUCUACCUAAUCAUAUAAGUAAUUAUUGAAAUAAAUGUAUAUGUCUGUGACAAAGAGUCUUCUAAAUUCAAGAUUGAAGAGAACUUCUUGUUUUUUAAAGAACGUUUGUUCAUUCCUGAAAGGCCAACUUGCUUGCGAAUUCUUCAAACAUGCAAUGACUUCCUUGUAAUUGGACAUUUUAGAUUCAACAAGAUCUUAGAACUUCUGUCUAGAGACUUUUGGUGGCCUAAAAUGUAAAAAGACAUUAAAAAAUUUGUACUAUCAUGUGAUACUUGUUCAAGGUCAAAGAAUCCUUGACAUUGGCCAUAUAAACUUCUUCAACCCCUUCCUAUUCUAAGACAACCAUAGUCAUCUAUCUCCAUGGAUUUUAUUACAGAUCUUCUACUAUCAAGCUCAUUUGAUACUAUCUUCAUAGUUAUUAAUCAAUUGACUAAGAUGGCACAUUUUAUACCUUAUAGGAAGUCAAUUAUUAGUAAAGAGAUGACAAGGCUCUUUAUUGACAAUAUCUAUUAUUACCACGGAUUGCCAAACGAUAUUGUGUUAGAUCAUAGAUCAUAGAUCAUAAUUUGUAUUAAGAUUUUGGAAGGUACUCUUCAAGUUUCUUUAAGUUGACAUUAACCUUUCUUUUAUCUUCUACCUUCAAACUGAUGGCCAAACAGAGUGGAUCAAUCAAAUUCUUGAGCAGUAUUUGAAGUGUACCAUCAACUAAUAACAAAACAAUUAGACUUCCUACUUGUUGUUGGUGGAGUUUGCAUAUAAUAUACAAUCUAUGCAUCUAUGCAACAAAUGUCAUUCUACUCAAACUAUGGUGAUCAUCCAAAGUUGGAUAUAAUAGAAUCUUUAAAGUUGAUAAAUCCAUCAAUAGAUAAGUUUGUUAGAAAGAUGGCUGAACUUCAAGCAACCAUGAAGACUCACCUAGAAAAGGCUCAAUGACGUUAUAAGCUAGUGGUGGAUGAAUUAAGAAAAGAAUAUCCUCCAUUCCAAGUUGGUGACAAAGUGUGGCUUCUUCAGUGCAAUAUAAAAACUAACAGAUCAUGUCAUAAGUUGGACUACCAAAGGUUGGAAUCAUUUGUGAUUUAGAAACAAAUCAAUAAUAUAACUUAUCACUUGGAGUUACCUUUAUCUAUAAAAAUUCAUCCAAUCUUUCAUGUUUUACUUUUGAAAAGGUAUAAAGAAUCAAACUUAUCAAGUUGAAGAUAAUUACCACCUCCUAUGGUUGAAAUCAAAGAUCAUAUUGAAUUUGAGGUAGAAGAGGUAUUAGAUUCAAGGAUAAGACAUGGAAGGCUUGAAUAUCUGGUCCAUUGGCAUGGAUAUGAUAUCAACGAUUGUAUGUAAAAACCAACUAGCAACCUUGUAAAUGUACAAAUGAAGGUUCAAAAUUUCCAUCAAUGACAUCCAUCCAGAUCAAAAGUGACAAAAUGAGAAAUAGUAGCUUGGUAAGAUGGCUUCACUAUGAAGAUUCUUAGUUUUUGGCCUCAUAAAGAAGGGAAGGAGGUAGCCUUUGAAGAGACAAUUUUUUCAAAUAUUUAGAAUAGUAUAAGUCAAUAAUUUGAGUUCAUAAUCAUAAUCUAUUUAUAUUCUUUUGGUCUUGUGUAUUUUAUAUGAUAUGGAUAGUGAAGAGAUAGACACCUUAUUGGUCAUACCAUCUCAACCAAGUAGCUUGCAAAGUUGAUCCUAAGAUGAAGAGCCUCAUGAACCACAAUGACGUUGUCAUGUUGUAAUACGACUAUAUAGUGAAAUUAUAAUCAAAGUUGAAUUUCUAAUUAAUAUCUAAUUAUCUUAAUUAAAUUAUAAUUUGAAGCAUCUAAACAUGGCUUUUAUAUUAGCCUCUUAGGUUAUUUUCUUAUCUUAAUAGUUAGUAGGUUGAAGGUUAGUUAAUAAUUUUACCCUCUAGGUUGUAGAGACUCUUCUACUACCUUAGAAAGACCAUAAACUAAUAAAAUCAGGUUAGAAGAGGUAAAUAAUUAGUAUAAUUGGUACUAGGGUUAAGUUGAGAGUAGGAUUGGAAUAAAAAAACCUUAUGAUACAUUAGAUUGAUACCUAUGGGUCGACCAUUUGUGAGACAGGAUCGAAAUCAAAUCUUUGGCCACUAAAACGACGGCCUAGGGCAAAAUAGGGAUUUAUUUGAAGAUCAAAGGUUAGUAUUUGAGAGCUAGCUUAAAGUUAUUUUCAAAGACAUAAGAAUUGUUUUGAGUGGAUUUUGGAAGACUUAGCAAUUAUUUUUCAAAGUUAGGAAUUAUAUCAGUGAUUUGGAUUUUAUAUAAUAUAAUUAGGACUAGAAAUUUUGGUAGUUCGUGCAAUUGAUGUAACAUCUACAGUUGUAAACUUGGUACUCUUUGGAUUAUUGAGUGUACUAAGUGUAUACAAAUUUUUUUGAUAAUCUAACUGCAUAGUUUAGAGAUAUCUAGUUUUUAGUAUAAGAGAGUUUUAGAAGGUGGCAGUUUGAGGUUUGAUAGAGUUUCUAUGAUAUCUAAAGAUCUAUUAGUUGAAUUUAAGUGAAAAUUAGCAUGGUGUUGAAGGACUUGAAGAUCAAGCUACACACUAAUUUUAAGAUAAAGUUAAUAAUUGGAAAUGAAGAAAUAAUUGUUGGGAUUUUUGCUUCACUUUUCAAGUUGGUAUCACGGCCAUAAUCAUGUAAGCUAAUAAUUACAUAUAGAAGUAGGUAAAAGUAAGUUAAUUCUAUAAUAUUUAAUAUGGAAGCUUCCUAGAAACUUCCUAGAUGCUGUUUUGACUUCAUAGGUGUCUUUAAUUGACUUUUUGGAUUAGAAACGUGGUCAACAAGUUGGCCAUGUGCCACACAUGUUGUUAGCUUGAAGAUCAAGCUAACUAUGUGGCCUACACGUAGAAAAACUUGCCUUGUAAGUCAAGGCAUGUGCCCUACAAAGUCAAUACAUAUUGGAGGUCCUAUAGAACGUCGCAACGUAGCGUCUAGUUAGAGAGUAUAUAUAGAGACAAGAGUGAAGGCUUCUUCACUCUUGUCAACUCCUUUCUUGCUUCUAGUCUAGUUUCAAGGGUCUCUAGUUUUCUUGUCUUUUGGCAAUAGCCAUUCCAGUUCCCCUUUCAAUAUAUAUACUUAUUUAUAUAUAUUUUGUUACCUGUCUUUGAGUGAAGGCUCACUUGUCUGAAUUAUUUUUUUCAUCGAGUUCUUGUCCUUGACAGAUUCACAAGAGUACACCUACAAUAUCAGAGCUUUGUCUAAUCUUGAUUAAGAGUGGAUUACUCCUUUUUUCUUGAUAAGAUAUAAGCAUAUUAGAAGUUGCGGAUUACCCUCUUCUAAACUGAUAUUGUCCUUAGUAUUUUCUUUGUCCGCAAGUCCUCUUUUCUAGUUGUCUUGAGCGAUAUUAGACAUCUUCUCUCUUCUAAGUAUUAUCAUGGCAGAACUUCUUGAAAUGAAGAGUGCAAUGGCACAAAUGCAAGAGCAAUUGAGGGAGUUAAUGCUUGCAAUGCAUCAACUCAAUUUACCACCACAAAGAGCAACAAGAUUAGCAAGAAGUGAAGAUAUAGAAAUGGUUGGAGCUGCUUCAACAUCUGCACCGAACCAUGUCUUUUCUCCUAUGGUGGAACACCCUUCAAAUGUUAGAGAACCAAGAAUUGCCCUACCCGAGAAGUUUGAUGGCACCAGAUCCAAGUUUCGAGGAUUUAUCAAUCAAGUAUAACUUGUGAUUGAACUUCAACCCCAAAGCUAUCCAACUCUAAGAUCACAAGUUAGAUUCAUUGGUACGCUUCUUUCAGGUUCGGCACUAUCGUGGUUUUCAUCUUUUUUUGAACAACAAGAUCCAAUAUUGGAUAAUCUAGAGGCUUUUUUGGCGGAGUUUUGAUCCAUGUAUGGAGAACAUGAUGCAAUUCGUGUUGCAACCAAUAAGAUCCAUAUUUUACGACAAGGCAAUCGAUCAGUAACGUUAUAUGCUUCACAAUUUCGACAACUUGCAACUGAUAUUAAGUGGGAUGAUGCUCCACUUAUUAGCCAAUUUCUCUAUGGAUUAUAAUAUGAGGUAAAAAAAUUAAUGCUCAACUUACCUGAUCCUCAAACAUUGAGUCAAGCAAUUGACUUUGCUAUGAAGUGCGACAAUCGCCUUUUUGAAUUUCGAUCUGAGAACCGUACAAGUGGACCUCAAUGUUACUAUAAUUCAAUGGCAACACCAACACCUCUUCAAUACAUACAUUCAAAAGUAGAGAAUAUGCAAAUUGAUGCAGUACGUUUCAAACCUCUUACUGAGCAAGAAAAGACUCGUCAUUCGUCAAGAAGGAUUAUAUUUAUAUUAUGGAUAACCAAAGCACACUGCUCAACAUUGUCCAAAGAAACAAGGCAAUCACAAAAUGAGGAGUAUGGCUGUGAAAGAAGAUAAUAUGUCGGAAAACGAAUUUGUCCAGGUACAAUAGGGACCGUGCGGCUGGAUCCUUGCACAAUAUCUAGUAAAGGUCCUAUUCUCUCCUCAGAGCCCCCUCCUUGUUUUACAUUAAAUGUUAUUUUAGGACCUAAAUAUUACAAAGUCUUUGCCUUAUUAGAUUCAGGUGCCUCAACGUGUUUUUUAGAUGAAGAAUGUACUAAAAGACAUAGCAUAUCUUUAGUUAAGAAAACUAAACAUGUUCAUGUAGAAGUCAUAGAUGGUCGUCCAUUAUCUUCUGGAGAUAUUACUCACGAAACCCUUCCUAUAGAAGUAAUAAUCAAUGGUCAUUAUAGUUUUGUAGUAUUUAAUAUCAUUAGAUCUCCCUCUAAUCCUAUCAUUUUAGGUUUAUCGUGGUUAGAAAAAUACAACCCUCAAAUAGACUGGAUUUCUCGAACUCUUACUUUCUCUAAAAGUAUAACUAACAGUGUAGUUAAGCAAGUAGAGAGUCAUAAGUCCAAUUCAAUUAAACCCGUAUUUAUAGGUGCAAAAGCUUUCUUGCAUGCAACUAUGAAAGAAUCACCAUAUAUUAUUUAUGCUACAUCCGUUUCUACUGGUGAAAAGACUUUAAGUGGCAUUCCAAGCCAAUAUCAAGAAUUUCAAGAUGUAUUUGAGAAAAAAAAUGCGGAUACACUUCCGGAACCUCAUCCCUAUGAUUGCUCAAUUGACCUUCAAGAAGGAGCACAACCGCCAUUCGGACCAAUCUAUAGUUUAUCACAAAAUGAGUUGCCUCAACUCAAGGAGUAUAUUGAAGAAAAUCUAGCCAAGAAUUUCAUACGCCAUUCUAAAUCUUCCGCAGGAGCUCCAAUUCUAUUUGUAAAGAAAAAAGAUGGAUCAUUGCGGAUGUGUGUUGAUUAUCGAGGACUCAACAAGAUUACCAUUAAAAACAGGUAUCCACUACCUUUAAUAUCCGAACUUCUUGAUCAGCUGAAUCAAGUUAAGAUCUAUACAAAAAUAGAUCUUCGGGGAGCAUACAAUCUAGUACGCAUCAAAGAAGGAGAUGAAUGGAAGACUGCAUUUCGAACUAGGUAUGGACAUUUUGAAUACAACGUCAUGUCUUUUGGACUUACAAAUGCACCAACAGCUUUUCAACAUCUAAUGAAUGAUGUUUUUCGAGAGUUUUUGGACGAUUUUGUGAUAUGUUAUCUAGACGACAUCUUGAUCUAUUCUAAGAAUCUAAAAUGACAUGAACUUCAUGUUCGUCGUGUGUUACAAAAAUUAAGAGAUGUAGGACUCUAUGCCAAGAUAGAAAAGUGUGUAUUCCACACUACUCAAGUUGAUUUCUUAGGUUACAUCAUUUCAAAUGAUGGACUUAUGAUGGAUCCUGAGAAAGUUCAAACUAUUAUAGAUUGGAAGAUCCCAAUAACGGUAAGAGAUGUCCAAUAUUUUUUAGGAUUUGCCAACUACUAUCGGAUCUUCAUCGAAGACUUCUCUCGAGUUGCAGCUCCACUUACACGUUUGACUUGUAAAGACAAACUCCAAUGGAAUUAAGAAGCGGAAGUUGCUUUUGAAUCUUUGAAGACAUCGUUUGUUUCUGCAACAAUCUUGUAUCGUGUUGAUUUUUCCAAAGCAUUCUUUAUAAAAACAGAUGCAUCGGACUUUGCUCUGGGUGUGGUUUUAUCACUAAUGGGAACAGAUGACAAACUUCAUCCAGUAGCCUUUCAUUCAAGAAAAUUCUCAGCAGCAAAAAUCAAUUAUGAGAUCCAUGACAAAGAACUUCUUGUAAUUGUGGAUUCUUUUCAAGAAUGGCGUCAUUAUCUAAAAGGCCCUUCUAGUCCAGUCACCGUGUAUACGGAUCACAAGAACUUUGAAUAUUUUAUGUCAACACGCGUAUUAAAUCGUCGCCAAGCUCGUUGGAGCAUGUCUUUAUCAAGAUUCGAGUUCAUCAUCACUUAUCGGCCAGAAAAACUACAAGGUUUAUCCGAUGCUUAUCUAGACGUUCUUAUCUUGCACCAAAAGAAAGAGAUGCAGCUUUUGAGCAACAAAAAAUGGUUCUCUUGAAGCCGGAACAAUUUCAUCUUCGAGCAAUAAAAUCAACAUUGAUUGUUGAUUUAACUUUCCUUAAGCAAGUCCAGUUAAGUAUGUCUUCAGACCUUCUUGUUCAUGAUAUCAAGAACAAUUCUUCUAAAUCUCAUGAUUCAUCUGAAUUUGAAUUCAAGAACAACCUACUCUAUUUUGAAGGACGCCUAUAUGUUCCAGAAGGAGAAGCACGUUUAUGUGUUCUUCAAGCUCGUCACGACUUUCUAGUAGCAGGACAUUUCGAAUAUAAUAAGACUUUGGAGCUGAUAUCUAGGGAUUUUUGGUGGCCUCAAAUGUAGAAGGCAGUUAAAGAUUUUGUACAAUCAUGUGAUGUUUGCUCCAGAUCGAAAAUUCCUUGUAAUCGACCUUUUGGACUUCUUCAGCCAUUACCCAUUCCAGAACAACCAUGGUCUUCUGCUUCUAUGGACUUCAUCAUGAAUCUUUCAAUCUCAGGUUCUUAUGACUCUAUAUUCGUGAUAGUAGAUGGUUUUACCAAGAUGGCACAUUUUGUACCAUGUACAAAAUCUAUCACAGGUGAAGAAAUAGCUAAGCUCUUUCUUGACAAUAUCUAUCAUUAUCAUGGAUUAUCCAAGGAUAUUAUAUCAGAUAGGGAAACUCAAUUUGUAUCAAGAUUUUGGCGGACUCUUUUCAAGAUUCUUAAAGUGGAUAUAAAACUAUCUUCGGCAUUCCAUCCUCAAACUGAUGGACAAACGGAGCGUGUUAAUCAAGUUUUGGAGUAAUAUUUAAGAUGUACUAUUAAUUACCAACAAGAUGAUUGGACAACUCUUUUGCCAUUGGCAGAGUUUGCUUACAAUAACACAGUACAUUCUUCUACAAAACAAACACCUUUCUUUAUUAAUUAUGGUUAUCAUCCACGACUUGAUACUUUUAACUUUUCAAAAGUUGAUAAUCUUGCUGCGAAAGAUUUGGCAAUUCAUUUAUCAAAGCUACAUGCAACGAUGAAGGCGAAGUUAAAAGAGGCUCAAGAACAACAAAAGGCCAAUGCGGAUGUCUAUCGAAAGAAACAACCAUCAUUUGUCUUAGGUGAUAAGGUAUGGCUACUUCGUCACAAUAUCAAGACCACUCGUCCUUGUGACAAGUUGGACUAUCGAAAGGUGGGACCAUUUUCUAUUUCUGCACAAAUCAAUCCAGUUGCAUAUCGUUUAGAUCUACCAGAGUCAAUGAAAAUCCAUCCUGUAUUCCACGUGUCUCUUCUUGAACCAUACAAGACAAUGGACAUACCAAGAAGACGAGAAGCUCCACCUCCUCCUAUAGAAGUGGACAAUAAUGAAGAGUUUGAAGUAGAAGAAGUCUUAGAUUCAAGGCGACGUCGAAAUAAAUUAGAAUAUCUUGUCCAUUGGCAUGGAUAUGAUAUUAGUGAACAUACAUGGGAGCCAAUAAAGAAUCUUACAAAUGCAGUAAAGGCCGUGGAGGCUUUUCAUAAACGACAUCCAUCAAAAUCAAGAUGAAAACCUUCUUUAGAAAAGAAACAACAUCUAGGCAAGAUGACAUUCUACUUUCAAUUCUUGUUCGUAGCUUUGUUGUAGUAGUGGCGCUCAGGAGAUGGAGAACCAACAACCAGCAGAUUCAACUCAAGAGCCUUCAUUUGCUGACCUGUCGGACGAGACAUUACGAUUGUCACAACCUUCAAGAUGACACAAUCGAGAUGAAGAUCUUCAAGAAUUACAUGUUCUUCCUCGAAUAGAUGGUGAGAUACAACGCAUUUGGUAUCACGAUUUGGGAAGGGACUCCCGAUGUUUGGUGAUUUUGCUAGAGGUAGGAACAACUCCUGAUGGUGUUCCAAAUAUUCUAUUCGAAGGAAGUUACGAAGGUUUCAACAAUGAUCAAAUAACUGGGUGGUCUUCCCGCCCUAGUAUGGGACACUACCGAUGGUUGAGAGGCCCUAUCAAUCAUCUUCGAAGAAAACAGAGAUCAGAGUAUGUGGCGAAUACAAUUCGUCGCAUCAUAGAUUUUCUCAACAUAUGAUGACCGCUCCUCGUGGAACUCGGCCCUAGAAGGGGGGGUAAUGUCACGGCCAUAAUCAUGUAAGCUAAUAAUUACAUAUAGAAGUAGGUAAAAAUAAGUUAAUUCUAUAAUAUUUAAUAUGGAAGCUUUCUAGAAACUUCCUAGACGCUGCUUUGACUUCAUAGGUAUCUUUAAUUGACUUUUUGGAUUAGAAACGUGGUCAACAAGUUGGCCAUGUAGCACACAUGUUGUUAGCUUGAAGAUUAAGCUAACUAUGUGGCCCACACAUAGAAAAACUUGCCUUGUAAGUCAAGGCAUGUGCCUUACAAAGUCAACACAUAUUGGAGGUCAUAUAGAACGUGGCCACGUAGCCCCUAGUUAGAGAGUAUAUAUAGAGACAAGAGUGAAGGCUUCUUCACUCUUGUCAACUCUUUUCUUGCUUCUAGUCUAGUUUCAAGGGUCUCUAGUUUUCUUGUCUUUUGGCAAUAGCCAUUCCAGUUCCUCUUUCAAUAUAUAUACUUAUUUAUAUAUAUUUUGUUACCUCUCUUUGAGUAAAGGCUCACUUGUCUGAAUUAUUUUUUUCAUCGAGUUCUUGUCCUUGACAGUUGGUGGCCAAGUAACAUUAGUGCAAUUUUUGGAGGUUUUAUCACAAUUGUAAGUUGGAUUGGGCUUAAAAAUCUUGAGCAUAUAGAAGAGUUACAUUAACAAUUGCAAGCAAAAUUCCACAAUUAGUGGACGGUCGGAUUAGAUGUUACAGCUUAUUAAAGCUCACUGUUUAGAAUUGGGCUUGUAAGAAAAAUCUAAAUUGCUUAAAUAUAAAAACAACAUGGUAAUUAGAAUUUAUAUAUGGUUAAGACUACUAAAAAGAGUGUUUUAAGCACUUUUGAAUUGAAAUUCAAAUUAUAUUCUUUUUGUAUGGAUGAAACCUAUUAGGAUUUCUUGGCUACUUGUGAAACACAAUCUCACCUUCCACAGCUAAGUGCCCAAUGUAUUCUUGAGCAAAACAACACGUAAUAUGACAACGUCAAAGGAUACCUAGUAAUAGGUUGCUGGUAAUUAUGUUUGAGGUAGAACUUGCCUAUAAAGGAUGCCUAGAAGGAGUGUUUGUAAGACAAUUCUGUAACAAAGAUAUCAAAGUUUAUACUUGGACAAAAGUAGAAGACUUGGAGCACUAUUGAUGGCUACAAGGACCUAUUAAUCAUUUGUCUUGUGAAAAACAUCAAGAAUAUAUAGUGGAUAUCAUGCGACAGAUCUUCAACUUCUUGCACGUAUACUGACUUGUAGCAAUAUUACUUCUUGGAGACAUCAAAGCUAGAGGAUGAGGUGAUAUCACAAAUGUAUAAUUGAAGAAGGUUUAAGAAGGUUCUUAUAUAUUUUAGAAGAUUUUAGAAGAUUUUGAUAGAUUCUAAGAAGGUUCUAAAAGACUUUAAUAGAUUUUAAGAAAAUUUUAGAGAGUCAUAGGAGAUCCUAGAAGUUUUUAAGAAGCUUUAGAUGAUUUAGGAAGUUACCAAAGAAGGAUUUUAGGCUUUCUUUGUUCCCCAGCCUCACGAAAUUUUUUCAAAAAGCUUCUUGGCACUUAGUAUAUAUAGAAGUCGAGAUUGAGGGGAUCUUCAAUGUCGACAACUGACUUCUUGUAGUCUAUCUAGGACCUUCUUGCUUUUUAUCUGGUUAUUACUUUAAUGUUGAGCUUAUUUUAUUUCUUGAUCUUGAGUCCUUGUCUUAUGUGUAGUUCCAAACAUAUAUACCAAGAUGUCAUUUAUGAAGACUGUUACUUAUUUGUUCAAAAUGUCUCAAAUUAAAUUGUUCAUUUGACUUAUAAAAGAAACUAGAGCAUUGGUAAGGCCAAAAGGUAAAAGAAGCCAUUCAAAAGGUCUAUAGUAUAUAAAAAUGUCUUCUUUUUUAUAUAUCUCUUUUGUGAUAGGUGUCUAUUGAUUGCCAUUGUAAUGAUCUAAUUUACUAAAGAUGGUCACAUCUUGAAGUUGAUCAAGAAGUUCAUCCACAUAUAGAAGUGGAUAUGCAUUUUUAAUAGUUUAUUUUUUAAGACUUUGAUAGUUGAUACAAAGUCAAAGUCCACCAUCCAUCUUGGGUGCAAAGAAUACAACUCCUCUCCAUAGUAAUAUACUUUCUUAAAUGAGGCUUUUCUCUAAAAAUUCAUUCAAUAUCUUAUGCAGUUCUUGAAAUUUCUUUAGUAUUAGGCAAUAAAUUGGUCAAUUUGCUAGUUUGGCUUCAGAUAAUAGUUCUAUUGGAAAAAAUGCAUCUUUAUUAGGAGAGACAUUGUAGUACUAUAAUUACUUAUAGUAUGUAAAAAUUAGUUAGAACAUAUAAUAUGUUCAUAAGUCUUAGUGUAUGUUAGAAUGGUUAGUAGAUUAAUUUAAAGAAAGUGGAUAUAAAAAACUUUAUUUUGAAUUUUAUCUAUUUUGAUUAUAGCAUUUAAAAAAAUUAUACGACCUAAAUAUUUAAUAUGAAGCUUUGAGAGGAGAUUAGAGCCUAAAGAUGAAAAUCUUAACUAGUAGGAUGCUUAUUGGGAAGGAUGAAAGCAAGGCAUGGUCAGAUGAAGGCAAGGAAUGGAGAUCUUCAUUCCUAUUGGUCGAAGGCCAUGUCCAAUGGGCUUUAAGGAGGCUGCCUGAGGCCUUAUUAGGGAUUAAGGUUUCUUUUUUGAAGUCAUUUGAGCUUUGUAGGCUAGAAUCAGCAAGUUUAAGUUUUUGAGUAUGGAUUGGAUGCAAAUUUUGUGUAAUUUGGAGUAUUAAUGAAAGAAUUAUUGGCGCUCAAAGUUAAGGUAUCAAUUUCAUACCUACUAUCACUCUUUGGAGUAUAACAUACAUUUGCAAAGAGCAACAAAAGAUUGGAGACUAGGAUUAGAGAGAACACCUCUUCAACUAUACUUUUUAUAGAUUUUUUUGAUGAAUUUAGAAUUUAGAUGAAGAAGUUAUAGAGAGUUGAAGUCAAUACAUCCAAAUCAAAGGCUGUAAGUAAGUGAUUUUGUUCACAAUAAUGGAUUCACCCAUAUUUUGAGUUUUUAGACGAAUUUUUGGCUCGAACUUUUUGAAGAAGAUAUAUUAUUUUAUUAAAAAUCUAUACAUACAAUUUUUGUGGUAUUUAAAUAUUUAAUUUGUGAGAUAUGAUGAAAAUUACAUAUGGAUGUAUAAAAAUUAGGAUUUCAAGCUAUUGUUAGGAUUUUGGUGAUAUCUUAAGUUUCGUAAUGAAUUUGUAGUUUAAAUUUAGGUUUGGAAGUUGGUAAGAUCACAUUAGUACUUCAUAUAAAAUUUGAAUAAGUUUGGACAGUUGGAUUAGGAGAUAAAAGGUAUUGAAGUUCGAAAAAAAUUCCAUGUAAGGGUAUAUAAGGUUUUAGACGGUUUUAUCAUAUUUUGAAUGUUAUUUGUUACUAUGGGCUUAUGUAUUUGAUGUAAUUGCUCCAAAAAGGAAAAUUUCAUAUAUCAACUUAGGACUUACUUUACUAUGAAGCUUGUUUGAGUAGUUAGUGAUAACCAAUAGCCUAGUACUUUCUUGAGGCAAAUUCUCUCUAUCUUAACAAUGCCACUAGAUAGGUCACUUAGAAAGAUAUUUCAAUAUUUGUAUAUGAGUUGUUCUUUCCAUUCCACUCCUUUAGCUAUCUUUUCUACUAUUGAUGUAAGAUUUGCUUAUACUCUAUUUGCUUCUUCAUAUAAGUUAUUUCUAAAAAAAAGUCUUUAGUCACAAAUUAUUUUCUUCUUUAUUUAAUGUGGAGGUACAAAGAUUCCCCUUGCGUCUACCAUCUUUGAAAGAAAUUAUUCUUAAUAUCCAAUUGACUUACUUAAGUUCCACCUCUAGGCAUGGCAUACCAAAGAUAACAUCGGAUCUUAGUUUUGUGAUCCUCAACCUCUUUCUCUUAAGACGUAGGUAUCAAAUAACCUUAAGAUUUCUUCUUCACAUAUCUUAUUCAAUACUUUCUCUCAGUCAUUUAUAAGGUAUAUACUUCCUCUAUUGAUUACCUUAGUUUCAAUCUCGAGUUGGUUGGUAAUUUAAGUCAAGAUGAAAUUUGAACUCAAUCCUCACAUCUUUCAAAUAACUUGCUGCAUAUAUAUUUCUUUCAAUAGUAUUUGCUUCAAAUAGUUGGAGAUAUUGUAGCAUGUUCAAGAGCUAUUGACAUACUUCUUCUUGCCUUGAAGUCCUAAAGUAUGUACUUGACUUAUUCAAUUCAGCCUAGUAUAUAUCAACUCUCUUGCCUUAGAGGCUUCUAUUUGCCUUUGCAAAGUAGCUAUCUGGCUUAAGAGAUGUUGUAUUUGAGCCUCCAUCUGGGAUUGCUCUACCAUAUCUCCCAUACUAAAAAUUUUCCACUAGAUUUCACUAUUAUAAUGCCUUCUCAUCUCUUGAUUGACUUUUUUAAAAUAUCUUAUGGUAGCCUCAACACAAUACCUAGUGUGAUGACAAUAACUGACUUUAGAUUAGAUAAUGACUAUUACCAUACUAUCAAAGAAUAAUCUAAUAAUUACUCUGAUAUCAAUGAAAUAAGACCUGUCUAUUUCAAGAGAUUAAGACCCUUCAAAUUCACAAUAAUAUAAAUCUCAUCUUAAGUAGGAUAAAAUGGAUUAGAAAAAAUUGAGCAAUCAAAAAUACAACAAAACAAAAUUGAAUAAUAAAAUGAUAAACCAAACUUUAUUGACUGAAUAGGUCUAAAGCCAUACCUAACUAGAUGUCCAAAAGGCCUUGGCCAAUCCUAUUUAUAUUUUAUCCAAUCAUCUUGAAAUUUUUUAGAUUAUUUUUAAUAAUAGAUUUUACUUAGAUAAUCAUCCUAAGCUCUUUCUAUAAGGUUCUAUAGUAGAUCUUAUCUAAAUAAUCAUCUUAAGUUCUUUUUAAAAUAUUCCAUUCUGGAUUCUAUAUUACAUACUAACAUAGUCCCAUUUCUAGAAACUUCUAUUAACUUCUGAAAUAUACUCCAACUAUCUAUCUCUAAGUAUGAAGAAUACAAAAAUCUUAUUAACUCUUUUUUAUAAGGAAUUCUUGACCUUGAACAAAUAUUACAUGAUUAGAUUAAGUCUUUCAUUGCCUUCCACAUUUGUAGCUACCAAAAAUCUUUAGAUAUAAGUUAUAAAGUCUUAUUAUAUCUCAAAUUGAUGGCCAUUAGAAAGUCAUGAUGUACUUAAAAAAUACCUACAUAUACUUCUCUUUUUGAAAUGUAUAAAGGUUAUCAAAAUAGAAUAGAUUAAUUUUGAAUUCAAACUUAGAAGCAUCAUGAGAUUUAGAAGAAGGAUUCUUGAUAUCAUAAAUAAGAAGAAAACAUGACAUACUUGAUUGAAAUUAUUUGAUGGUCGUUUGUUGUCUUUUCAAAAUGUUAUUUAUGAGGUUAUUCUUUUAGAUGUAAUAUUUAAAGAUCAUAAAAGCAUAGUAGUAUUUAAUGUAAUAAGAUCUCCUUUAAAUCUGAUUGUUUUAGGAUUAUUAUGGCUAAAAAAAUAUAACCUUCAAAUAGAUUAGAUUUCUUGUAACCUUCACUUUUUUGGUAGUAUAAUCUAAGAUCGAGUUAGCAGAGUAGAAGUAUAAAAGUUUAGUACUUCCAAAUCUAACUUCAUAGGAGCGAGAGCUUUCAUGCAUGCUGCAAAAGAAGGAUCAUCUUUUGUUAUAUAUGCUAUGCCCAUUUCUAAUGGUGAAAAAAAGUCAAGUGGUAUUCCUAGCCAAUAUGAAGAAUUCCAAGAUAUUUUUUAAAAGAAGAAUGUAGAUAUUCUUCUAGAUUAUUGACCUUAUGAUUGUUCAAUUGAUUUGUAAGAAGGAACUUAACUACCAUUUGGAUCAAUCUAUAGCUUAUUGUAGAAUGAAUUAGAUGCAUUAAAGGAGUAUAUUGAUGAAAAUUUGGCAGAGAACUUCAUACGCCAUUCUAAAUUCCCAGCCAAAGUUCCUAUCUUAUUUGUGAAGAAGAAAGAUGGAUCUAUGUGGAUGUAUGUGGAUUAUCAAGGACUCAAUAAGAUCACGAUCAAGAAUAGAUAUUAUUUGUCUUUGAUUUCAGGACUUCUUGAUCAACUCAAUCAAGCAAAGAUCUAUACCAAAAUAGAUCUACGAGGAGCAUACAACUUAAUUCAUAUCAAAGAAGGAGAUGAAUAGAAGAUUGCUUUUUGAGCUAAUUAUGGAUAUUUUGAAUAUAAUAUCAUGCCUUUUAGACUCACGAAUGCACCGAUUGAUUUUCAACAUCUUAUAAAUGAUGGUUUUUAUGAGUUUUUAGAUGAUUUUGUCAUUUGCUAUUUAGACGGCAUUCUAAUCUACUUUAAGAACACAGAAGAACAUAAACUUCAUAGAUAAUAAUCAAAAGUUCGAGGUAGAAGAAGUCUUAGACUCAAGGCGGCAUCAAAAUAGGUUAGAAUAUCUUCUUCAUUGGCACAAAUAUGAUAUUAGUGAACACACAUGGAAGCCAUCAAAAUAUCUUACAAAUGUAAUAAAGAAAGUUGAAGCUUUUCAUCAAUGAAAUCCAUCAAAAUCAAGAUGAAGAAUAGCAAAUCUCACCUAUAAAAGAAACAAGAUUAAAGAAAGAUUAUAUUCUAUCUUCUAUCUUUCUUUAUAGCUUAUGUACAUUUAAGAUGCUAAGGAGAUGGAGAACCAACAACCAGCAGAUUUAAAUCAAGAGCUUUCAUUUGUAGCUUUACAAUUUUAAAAGUUGGCAGUUUGGGAUUGAGUAGGAUUUUUGUGAUAUCUAGAGAUCUAUCAAUUGGAUCAAGGUAAAUUUGGGCUUGAUCUUGAAGGACUUAAAGAUCAAGUUGCAUACCAAUUUUGAGUUAAAGUUAAUAGUUAAAGAAGGAGAAAUCACUACCAGGAUUUUUGCUUUAUUUUUUAAGUUAACAUCCAAGUGACAUCAAUAUAGUUUUUGGAGGUUUUCUCAUACUCUAUAAGUUGAAUUGGGCUAAAAAUUCUUUAGCGUAUAGAAGACUUAUAUUGAUAAUUGGAUACAAAAUUUUAUAUGAAGUGGAUAGUUAGAUUAGAAGUUACAGCUUAUUAAAGCUCAUUGAUUAAGAUUGGAGCUUAUAAGAAAAAUCUAAAUUCCUUAAAUAUGAAAGUAACAAGGUAAUUGGGAUUUAUAUAUGAUUAUGGAUACUAAAAAGAGUGUGUUUUAGCACUUUUGAAUUGAAAUUUGGAUUAUAUUCUUCUCAUAUGGAUGAAAUCUAUUAGGGUUUCUUAGAUACUUAUGAAACACAACCUCGCCUUCUAAAGCUAGGUGUCUAGUGCAUUCCUAAAUAAGACAACAUGUAAUACGACAAUGUAUCUAUUUUAGAUCUAUAUAAAGUAAUGAAUAUCUUGAGAAGAAGAUAAAUAAUAUUACUUUUUAUAGAAGUAGAUAAUAAUUAAUAAUUUAAGGUGGAAAAAGUCUAAGACUCAAGUCGGCGCCAAUAUAGGUUGAAUUAUCUUAUUCAUUGGUGUAGAUAUGAAAUUAGCAAAUACAUAUGGAAACUACCAAAAAAUCUUAUAAAUGUAAUAGAGAAGGUUAAAACUUUUUAUCAACAAUAUCUAUCAAAACCAAGAUGAAGGAUAUCAAAUCUUUGCUAUAAAAAAAAAAAAAAAAAAAAAAAACCUUAUUUUAUAAAGAUUAUGUUCUACCUUCUAUCCUUAUUUUUAGUUUAUAUAUAAUUGGGGUAUUAAAGAGAUUAAGAAUUAACAACCAACAGAUUUAAAUUAAGAGCAAUCAUUUGCUGUCUUAUCAAAUAAGAUAUUACAAUUAUUAUAAUCUUUAAGAUGACAUAAUAGAGUUGAAGAUCUUUAAAAAUUACAUAUUCUUCAUCAAAUAGAUGAUAAGAUAUAAUAGAUUUGAUAUUACAACCUAAGAAGAGACUUUUGAUCUUUGAUAAUUUUAUUCGAGAUAUACAUGACUUCUGAUGGUAUUUCAAAUUUUUUAUUUGAAAGAAGUUCAAAGGUUUUAACAAUGAUCAAAUAACAUUGUAGUCUUCUUAUCUUAAAAUAGGAUAUUACUGAUAGCUGAGAAGACUUAUCAACUACCUUCAAAGAAAAUAAAGAUCAGAGUAAAUGGCAAAUGUAAUUUGCUACAUUUUAGACUUCUUCAGUAUAUGAUUACUGCUUGUCAUGGAACUUGUUUCUAAAAAGAAGAGUAAUGUCAUGGAUAUAUAUCUAUUGUAAUUAUUAUCUAUAUAAUAUGGAUAGGUAGAACUAGAUUAAAAUAGAUUAAUUUUAUAAUAUCUUCUAGAAAAGCUUUUUAGAUGUUGUUUUGACUUUUUAUGUGUUUGUAAUUGAUUGAUAGGUUAAAAACUUAGUAAAUAAAUUAAUCACGUGCCACAUAUAUUGGUAGCUUACAAAACUAGCUAAUUAUGUAGUAUCCAUAUGAAAAAUUUGCCUUGCAAGAUAAGAUAUGUGUCAUGCAAAUUCAAUACCUUUUUGGAGGUCCUAUAGAACGUCAUGACAUAAUUCUUAUGUAGAUAGUAUAUAUAAAGACAAAAAUAAAGCCUUCUUUACUCUUAUCAACUUCUUUCUUGCUUCAAGUCUAGUUUCAAAAAUCUCUAAUUUUUUUAACCUUUGACAAUAGUUAUUAUAGUUUUUUUUUUUUAAUACAUAUAUUUUUUAAUUUUUAUUUUGUCAUAUUUCUUUGAGAGAGAUUCACUUAUUUAUUUUCUUUCAUCAAAUUCUUGUCUUUAACAACUAUCCACUUAAGAGUUACAUGGCAAUAUUCUAUAGGACUUCCAACAUGUGUUGACUUUACAAAUCACAUGUUUUAACUUGCUAGACAAGUUUUAUGUGUAUAUUUUAUAUAACUAGCUUGUUCCACAAGCUAUCUACUUGUGAGACAUAUGAUUAACUUGUUAAUUAGAUUUUUAACUUAAAAGUCAAUUAUAAACAUGUUGUCAUAUUAUAAUUCGGCUACCAUGUGAAACAAAUGUGUUUAUAUAUUUAAUGUAGAAUUUACUUAGUAAUAUGGUGAGAGCAAUGUUAUUGGAUUAUAGUUGAUUGUAGAAUGUGGUUAAACUACUUCUUUAAAAGGACGUUGUUUAAAUGGAUUACUAUUAAAAUUUGUAAAACUUAAUUUUUUUUUAUAAUGGUUUUCGAAGUUGAUUUGUUGGUAGUAAAUUUAUACAUUUAGAGUCACCUUUGUAAGACAUUGGUUAUCCUUAAAGUUUUAUUUUGGUUCUUUUAUUUGAUAUUCAAGACAUGUAAUAUAUAAAUCUUAUAUAAAAAAGGAUUAAAGAAGGAUUUUAGUAAAAAUAAAGGUAGUUAAGACAUCGAUAUGAAUGAUUGGAGAUAGAUGAUAUAAAUCUUCAUUCUUAUUAGUCAAAUAUCAUGACCAAUGGACUUCAAGGAGGUUGCCCGAGGCCAUAUUAGGAAUUACAAUUAAUCUUUUGGGAGGAUUUUGAUCAUCAAAGCCUAAAGUUAGCAAGUUCAGGUUUUUGGCUAUGGUUUUGGUGUAAAUUUUGAGUCAUUUGGAGUUUUUAUGAAGGAAAUGUAGGCUCUCAAAGACAAGGUAUUAGUUUUGUAUCUACUGUUACUCUUUUGGAUAUAAUGCAUGCGUAUAGAAAGCAAAAAAAAUUGGUGACCAAGGUUGGAAAAAGUACUUUUUUAACUACAAUUUAUUUAUAUUGCUUGAUGAAUUCUAAACUAAGAUGAAAGAGAUAUUAUAAGUUGAAGCCAACACUUAGAAUCUAAGAAGUAGUAAGUGAUUCAAAUUACUAGUAGUUGUGUUUUGAGCUAUAUCUUAUGCAAUUUGAUAAGAUUUUAAUCAAAACUUUUUAAGAAUAAGUUUUUUUCAUGUUAUUAAAUUUUAUACAUAAGUUUUGUGAUAUUUGGAUUUUGUAUUUGUGAAAUAUGAAGAAAAUAGUACUUAGGUGCUUGUAAAUUAGGAUUUGAAGCACCUGCUAGGAUUUUUAAGAUGACAGACGAUUUGUAGCAAAUUUAUAGUUGAAUUUUUUUGGAAUAAUAUUUAAGGAUAAAUUCUAUAUCAUUUAUAAAUUUGACAAAAAUUGAAUAAUUUGAUGAAGAGAUAUAAACUUUUGAAGUUCAAAAAAAAAUAUUUUAUUUGAAGGAAGUAAUAUAGGCCUUAUCAAGGAGCAAAUAACAAGGUAGUCUUUUCACCUUGGGUUGAGUCACUAUCAAUGGCUGAAAGGAUCUAUCAACUAUCUUCAAAGAGAGCAAAGAUUAAAGUAUGUAACAAAUACAAUUCGCCACAUCUUAGACUUCUUCAAUAUAUGAAAACUGCUUUUCAUGGAACUAUGCUUUAGAAGGAGGGAUAAUAUCAUAGACAUAUAUAUUAUUUCAAUAAUUAUUUAUAUGACUAGAUAGAAGUAGAUAAUUAUAGAUUAAUUUCAUAAAGUCUUUUAGUGAAGCUUCCUGAAAGCUUCAUAGACGUGGUUUUGAUUUUAGAUGUAUUUGUAGGUCAAAAACUUUGCCAACAAAUUAACCACCUGUUGUGAGCUUGUGGAACAAGUUAACUCUGUAUAAUAGCUUGUGGAACAAGUAAACUAUAUCGUGCAUAUAUAGAUUACUUGCCUUGUAAGUAAAAACAUGUAACUAAUAAAGUCAACAUGUUUUAAAGGUCUUAUAUAACAUUGUCAUAUAACUCCUACUUAAGAAUAUAUAUAGAAGCAAGAUUGAAGCAUUCUUCAUUCUAAUCAAUGCGUUCUAGUCCUUAGUCUUGUUUCAAGACUUUUCAAUCUUUUUGUUUUUGGCAAUAGCCAUUCUAGUUAAUAUUAUAUUAUCUUUAGAAUGACUUUCUAGUUAUCUUUAGUAAAAAAAGACUGUAUCGAGGAUUCUCUUUCUUUGAAAUUCAUAUCCUUGACAUUCUUCAAGAAGGUUGUUUGCAAGAUGCUUGAUAUUAAAAAUAAGAGGGUUCAUAAUUGAGGCUUUACGAAUCUGAUCAAGAAAUGAUAUAUCUAUAAAUAUUGAUACAUUGGUUGCUCAAAGAUGAAAUUGCUCAAGCUUUAAUAAGGUUGCUUAUUAUUAAUCAUAUGUUAUCUCACUUUUUUUUGGUUCAAGGUAGGAACAUCUUGAUAAUACAUCUGAUAACCUUUGUUUGUUCUUGAAUUGAUACAUGAUGCAAAAGUGAAAUCAUGAUAAAGAUAUCUUCUAAUGCGCUUGGCAAUAGUUCAAGAUUUGGGUUGACUUGAAAUACUCAAGAUUCUUGUGAUCUUUAUAUACUGUCACUUGGUGAGAGGCACCUUAAAGAAAGUGGCGCCAUUCUUAGAAAGAAUCUAUGAUGGCAAGCAACCUCUACUAUGAAUUUUGUAGUUAGUUUCUAUUCCUAAGAAUUUUCUAGAAUAAAAUGCAAUUGGGUGAAGUUUGCCAUCUUUUCUAUAUUACAAUAAAACUGCUCCCAAUACAAAGUCUGAGGCAUUGGUCUCCAUAAAAUAGGACUUAUUGAAAUUUAGAUGUAUCAAAAUUGGAGUUAUUAUGUAAGCAUCUUUUAAGCUUUGAAAAUCUUUCUUUGCUUCGGGACCCGAGUCCAACUUAUCUUUGCAUGUCAAUUGCAUGAGUGAAGUAGCAAUCUUGAAAUAAUUCUUAAUAAAAUCCUUGUAGAAGCUUAUAAAUUCAAGAAAGCAUUAAAAAUUAUGUACCAUUUUUGGUUUUUUCCAAUCAAUGAUUGCUUAUACUUUCUUUGGAUCCAUAAAAAGGCCUUUAUUAGAAAUAAUAUAUUCAAUGAAUUUGACUUGAGAUGCAUGAAAUAUAUAUUUCUCUAGUUUUGUACAUAAUAUAGCACUUUGUAGCUUUUUCAAUACAAAGCGGACAUGUUUUUUAUGGUGUUCUAGAUUCUUGGAAAAGAUUAGAUAUCAUCUAAGUAGAUCACAACAAAUUUGUCGAGAUGCUCGCAAAAUAUGUCAUUUAUUAAGUGUUGGAAUAUGGCUGAUAUAUUAAUAAGUCCAAAAAGCAUGACAUUGUAUUCUAAAUGUCCAUACCUAGUACAAAAUGAUGUCUUCUAUUCAUCUCCUUCCUUACUGCAUAUGAAAUUAUACAUUGUCAGAAUAGAGAGAAUUUGCCUCAAAAAAAUACUAGGCUCUUGGUUGUCACUAAUUGCUCAAUCAAGUCUCAAGAUAAGAAAGACCAAGAAUAUAUAUAUAUAUAUAUAUAUAUAUAUAUAUAUAUCACUUUUAAGAGCUAUUAUACCAAACAUAUAAGUCUUAAGUUUCCAAAAACAUCCAAAAGAUGAUAAAAAAAACUCUAAAUCCUAAUAUAUCCUUAUGGAGUACUAUUUCCAAACUUCAACAACUCAUUUUCUUAAUUGGACCAUUCAAACACCUUUAAAUUUUAUAUGAAGUAAUGAUGUAAUUUUAACAAAUAAUACAACAAAUUUCAAUUGCAAAUUCAUUGCAAAACUUAAGAUAUUACCAAAAUCCUAAUAAUAGCUUCAAAUCCUAGUUUUUAUAGCUCUAUAUAUAAUUUUCUUCAUAUCUCACAAACUAAGUAUUUAAAUGCUACAAAAGUUUUAUGUAUAUUUUUUUAAUACAUUAAUCCAUAUUUUUUAAAAGAUUUGAGUCAAAAAUUUGUCUAAGAACUCAAGAUAUGGCUCCAACCAUUACUAUGAAUUAAAUCACUUACUUACUGCUUUUGAUUUGGAUGCGCUAACUUCAACUCUUUAUAAUUUCUUUAUUUGAAUUAUAAAUAUAAAAAUUCAUUCAUAUAAGAUUUAAAUCAUAAAACCAAUUUUCUAAUUACACCAUUUGAUCUCAAAAAAUUGCCAUAAAACUCUACACAUGCUCAAAAGAGUAAUAGUAUAUCUUAAAAUGAUAUCUUAACUUCAAAUGGCUAUAAUUUCUUCACCCUAACUCCAAAUUCACUAAUUUUUGCAUCCAAAUUAUAGCUCAAACUCUAAACCUUAAUAAACUAGCAUUUGAUUUUCAAAUUUUCCUCUGAAGUUUCCAAAAACUCUUCUUAUGGUUGCAAACUGCCUCCUAAAAGCCUAUUGGGUAUGGCUUUUGAUCCAUAGGGAUGUAGAUUUCCAUUCCUUGCCUUCAUUCGACCAUGCCUUGCUUUUAGCCUUCCUAAUAAGCCUCCUAUUAGUUUAGAUUUUCAUCUUUAGGUUCUAAUCUCUUCUUAAGGCUUCAUACUAAAUAUUUAGGUCCUAUAAUUUUUUAAAUGCCAUAACCAAAAUAGAUAAAAUUUAAAAUUAAGUUUCUUAUAUCCACUCUCUUUAAAUUAAUCUAUUAACCAUUUUAACACACACCAAGAUUUAUGAACAUAUUAUAUGUUCUAAUUAAUUUUUAUAUACUAAAAGUAAUUGUAGUAUGACUACACCCCUCAUAGAUUAAUCUUUGUAAAGAUCUUUAUUUAGCUAAAUUGAUCAAGAAGUCUAGAUAUCAACGAAAAUGGAUAUCAAUUUUUUUAUUAUGAUUUUAUUAAGACUGCAAUAAUCAACACACAUCCAUAAAGAUCCAUCUUCAUUUUCACAAAUGAUAUCAAAGUACCAAUUGGUAAUUUAGAAUGUUGAAUAAAAUUCUUAGCCAGAUUUUCAUCAAUGUAUUCCUUUAAAGUCGCAAGCUCAUUCUAGAAUAAAUUGUAGAUGAGUUCAAAUAAUGGUUGAACACCUUCUUGAAGGUCAAUCAUACAAUUAUAAGGGUGAUGCUUCGAUAGGAUGUCCACAUUUUUCUUUUUAAAUAUAUAUAUCUGCAAAAUCCUUUUACGCCUCUGAAAUUAUUGUUGUAGCAACCAUAGGUUUUGAUUAUAGAUUUGCAUAGACAACAAAUGUAGUGCCGUGUUUGGCCACCGUUAUAAAUGAUCUAGCUCCAAUAAAUAAAUAUUAUUUAAGUUUUGGCUUAACGGGUGUUGGAAGCUUUUUCAUAGAUCUAGGAGUUUUAUGAUCUACUAGAAAAAAUUCUAACUUUUGAGAUAUUCAAUCUAUAUGUGGAUUGUAUUUUUCAAGCUAUGAGAGACCUAAAAUGACUAAACUUGAUGAUAAUCUAAUGGUGUUGAAUACUACUUGGUUGCUAUAGUUGUCAAAGGUUAUUUCUAAUAGAAUUGUCUCAUGAGUGACGUCUCCAAAGGAUAAAGGUCGACCAUCUAUUACUUCUACAUGUAUGGCUUUGGAUUUUUGAUAUACAAAUUUUGUGUGAUCUAGAAAAUUCUUUGUCAAUAAAAUAUGUAGAGGCUUCCAAGACACGUAGUGAAUGACACUCUAGUUUUGUGACUCCUAACUGUACAUGUAUAAUAAAUCAAUGGAAAAGACUAGCAAAAAAUAUAAGAUCUUUUUUGAUUUGUGAUAGUAAAGAAUCCAACUGCAUGGUUUCUACUAUGGCUGAACACCUUCAUUUUCCUGAAGAGCUUUUGAUAACAUGGCUGUACUUCUCAUUUGAUAUGUUUGCUAAUAUUUCUGUGAACAAUUAUUAAUCUUGUGGUUAAGUUUUCUACAAUAUAAACAUAGGCCAAGUUCUAUUUGAUAUAUAUUUUUUUUUGUUUAAAAAGAGGUUUGAAGUAAACUACAUCAAAUUAUAUAUCUUUUACUUCCAACUGCUCAUUAUAAUUAGACAGUGAAGAAGCUACAUAAUAAUUGGUGUAUACAUGUGGUAUAACUGAAGAACAUUUAUCUUGUUGUCGUUGAAGUAAAUAAUUAUCGCACUUCACACCUUGACUAAUGGCUUCAUUGAGUGUUUGAAGAUCUAGCAUAGACAACAAUAAGUCCUUGAUAUCAUUUCUUAAUCUCCAAUGAAAUUGGCUUAUCAACACAUCUUCUCUCCAAUUUAUAUUACAUGCUAAUUGUCAAAAUUUUGAGGCAUAUGUUAAUGCAGAAUACAUUUUUUUGCCAAAGGCUUUGAAUUUUAGUUAUUGGAGAAUGAACCUUAUCAAGUUUACUAAAUGCUUCUGUAAAUGCUAUAAAAAAAUACUUCAAAAUUGUGUAAUAUAAGAGAAUUAUUUUCAAAUAAUGGAGUAAACUUAGAUAAAGCUUGACAUGAUAAUAAGAUUCUAAUUGAACCAAUACGAGAUGCUUUAAUAGAAUAUUGUUGAGGUUGAAGUAAGGUAAUUAGUUGUACUUAGUUUACAAAGCUACAAAAUUAUGAUUGGAUGCCAUUGAACUUUUUUAGAAGGUUGAUCCUUGGUUCUUUUUUUUGUUAUUGUUGUCAGAUCAUUGCUUUGAGCAAAUGCACCUUCUAUGUUUCAUAAAGCAGAUAUAGUCAAUUAAGAAUUUAGAAUCUUUAUGACUAUUUGAUGUGGUGGUUGAGGCACUCCACCUCUUUGACCAUUAUAUAUGGUCAUAUAUAAUUCUUCAUUCUGCUUCAAUAAAAUCUCUCUCUUGAUCUUCAAUGCUUCAAGAGGAUUAAUAAUAGAAUCUAACUUGAUCUCUUAGGAGUUUGUCAUAUUGAUUUUUUCACCUUUUGCCAUAAAAAAUCAGAAAAAUACACAUUUUAAAGAAGAAAAAAAUAACCAAAAAACCAAAAAUAAUAAAAAAAAAACUAAAAAAAUAUUAAAAAAAUAAUAAUAUUAAUCUAGAAAAGGAUAAUUUUUAACUUCUAGAAUGUUAUAGUACUUCUAAGAAGCAAAGUAAUCCACUCUCUAUCAAGAAAGAUUAAGCUUCUAAUAUUAUUUUAUUGUAGUCUCGAUAAAUUAUUAAGGACCACAUAUAAGAUAAGGAUUUAAGACAAAGAAAUGGAAUUAGCUUGAUAUUAAAACAAUAACUUGAUACAAGGCAAGGAGGUCUUGGCUAGACUACAAGAAUUGAGUUGUCAAGACUAAGGAUCCUCUUAGUCUUAACUCCUAUAUAUACUAGGUCCUAGAAAGCUUCUUGAGAAGUUUUCAUGAGGCUUGGAAGCAAAGCAAGCUUAAGAUCUUUCUUCAAAAACUUCCUGAAUCAUCUAAAGCCUCUUAGAACCUUUCAAGAUCUCCUAUCAUCUUCUAAAACUUUCUUAGAAUCUAUUAGAACUUUUUGGAACCUUUUUAGUACCUACUCGAAUCUUUUAGGAUCUAUAAGAAUCUUCUAAAAAUUCUUAGAACCUUCUCAAUCCUUCUUCAUUUGUAUGUUUGUAAUAUCUAUUGUAUUAUAUUUUAAUCAAUGAUUCACAAUACUUAAGAAAAAUAGGACAUUGUGAUUUAUUCAAGAUAUACAAGCAAUAAAUAAGAUAACUUUUAAAAUUAUGGAUUCAAAUCCAAAUGUGGAUUAGUUUGCAAAGGCAUUUGUAAAGAAAGCAAUUUAUUCUAUGGAAGAUUUUUAUUCAGGAUAUGAUCAAUUUCAAUUGGCAAUAUGAAGUAGAGAUUUGACAAUUAAAAAAAUACCACUAGGAUUAGUCAAAAUGUAUAUAUUACCAAAAGGGGCUACAAAUUUUGUGGCAUGUAUGAUGAAUGGGAUGCGUAAGGUAUUAAGGGUUUUUAUUUAAAGAAUUAUAAUGUUUUUUUCUACAUAAUGUGCUAAUUAAAAAUUGUGAAGAAGAAAGAAAAGAUAAAGUAUUGGAUUCAAAAGAAUGCAAGAAGUUGGUAGCGGAUCAUAUUAAUGAUUGUGAAAAGAUUUUGAUAAGAUUAGAAGAAGUUUAUUUAACAUUAUUGAACAUAAAAUAAUAUUUGGAAUAAAAAAAAUAUUGAUAGAAUGGUAUAUACAAAGAUGUAGCAAAUUUUGUAGGAUGUUGUGAAACUUGCUAAGUAAAUUCAAAUAUUUGUCAUUGAGAUGGAUUAUAUCUAAUAUAUCUUUUAGAUUUAUAUUACAAGAUGGUGAUAGAUUUAGUGGCAAUCCCUAUGAGACUUAAACAAAUGAAGUAUUUGAUACUUGAAUGAGAAGAUUUAUCAAAUAUGGUUGGAUGACAAGCAUUAAAAACAAAGGAUGCUAGAGAUGUAUGCUGAUUUUUAUUAGAAGAUCUUAAUUUUUGUUAUGGUUGUAUUAAAAAAAAUAUAUCUAAUAGAGAUAAAGAGAAGUACAAGAUUUUUUUGAUAGAAUAGGAAUUAAGCUUUCUUUAACAAUAGCAUAUAAUCUAGAAGGUAAUGGAUAAGAGAGAGCGUUGAUAUUCACAUAUUAUUAAGGCAUUAGUAAAGGCAUGCAGUGACAAAGCAUAUGAAUAUUCUAGACUAGUACCAUUUACAUUAUAGGCUAAUUGAAUAAUCCAUAGUUUAGUAAUACAUUAUAUGCUUUUUGAAUUAAUAUAUGAAAAAAAAUCAAUAAUGCCAAUAGAAGAAAUAGUGCCUAUAUAGGAUGUAUUAUCUUGGAAGAAUUAUUUCAAUAAAAAAGAAAUUUUAGCAUUAUGGAUUUAACAAUUAGAAAGAAGAUCUAAUGAUAUUUAAUAAAUAAUAGAAAAUUUGAAAGAAGCAAGAAAAAAAAUAAAAAAAAGGUUUGUUAAAAAACAUUGACUACGACCUAACAUAAUUGAAGAUGGCAAUUGGAUGUUAGUUUAUGAUAAUAACUUAGAUAAUAAAUAUACUACAAUAAGGAAGUUUGCAAAGAUAUGGUUUGGACCUUAUGUUGUCAAACAAGUAUAUGAAAAUGAAACAUACUUGUUAUAAAAACUUGAUAGUACAAAAUUAAAGAUACUUAUAAGAAGCAAAAAAAUUAAGUUAUUUAAACAAAGAAGUGAAGACAUUUAUUUUAAUGAAGAAUGAAAUCAUUACAAGACAUUGAGAUGGAAAUAGAAGAGAAAAUUGAAGAUAAAAAAUUUAACCAAGAAGAAGAAAACUCUGUAUCAAUGUAAUAAAGUAAAUUUGGCACAAACUUGUAGAUGUACAAAUUUAAGAAGGGUGGAUGUUGUGAUAUAACAUAGCUAAUAAAUUAAAGAGAGAAAAAUAUUAUAUUAUAAAAUAUAUUAUUUUAAAAUAUUAAAAAAAAAUUAAAAAUAUAGAUGGUAAUUGAAAAGAUAGUAAAAUUAAAAAGUAUUAAUAUUGCCUUUUGCCUUUUUCCAAAAUAGGCUUCUAUUUAUUUUGUAGGACCAUAAAUAAGGUAAAACAAAGUAGAUUGGAAUAUUAAAUAAUGUAGAUAGAAAUUAAAAGUAUAUUUUAGAAGAAUUUACAUCAAAAAGCCAAGAAUUGAUAUUCAAAGAGGACCAAUUGUCAAUCCGGAUUGAAAUCAAAUCCUAAGGUAUAAAACCGUGUAUCUAUAAUAAUUCUAGAUUUUUUUGGUAUAUUAAAGAUUAGGAUUGAAAAUUAGACUUGAAAAAAAAUUGAACAUCAAUUUUAUAUCAAUUGAAUUAAUAUUGACUUUCUGAGGGAUUUUCAAAGUUAAUAAUGUUUUUGAUCAAUUUAGAUUUUUAGAAAUAAAAAUAUAUUUAUAAAUUUGAGGGAUUCUUGAUUUUUUUGGUGUAUAUAUAAGUGAAUUUUGGAUAAUAUAUUGAUGUACUAGUUGUGAAUGUGUAUGCAAAUUUUGAGGUUAAUUGGAUGGUUAGAUCAAAGUACGUGAAGGUUUUGGCAGAUUUAGGUUUCAAAAAUUAGAGUUUGAGGGUUAAUAAGUAUUUCUUAGAUCUUUAGCAAUUUUUCAAUUAGAUUUAAGUAAAAAAUUAAAUAAAUUGUGGAUACUAAAUUCAUUUUUUAAUAUUCUAUGUGAAAUUUAAGGACGAUUCUAUAAUUCAAGAAGGAGAUAUUACUACUAGAAGUUUAGUAUUCAUAUUGGAGUAGGAGGCCGCCUAGUACUUGAUUGGAUUAUCUUGCAUUUCUUUCAAUUCCUAAGUGCAAUUGAUUUCAUUUUUCUUGUGGCUGUUUUUAACUAAGACAUUAAAAAGUAUGCAAAUUUUGAAUUGAUAUCAAUAGUUUGAUUUUUAGUUGAUGAGGUUCUAUUUGCAAUGAGGUUUAUUAAGAAUUUAUUUAAGAUCUAAGGUUUGAUUAGAGUUUUGUUUCAGAUUUGGUCUAGGAUUUUUUUAGGAUUUAGAAAUUUAUUAGGAUAUCAUUAGAAUUUGAUCUAAUAUUUGAUUAAGGUUUGAUAAGGAUUUAAUUAGGAUCUAACCUAGGAUUUGAUUUAAGAUUUGUUUAAGAUUUAAUUAAGAUUUUAAUUAGGAUUAUAUUAGAAUUUCUAUUUUAGUAUUUCUUUUAUUUUGUUUUUUUUUCAUUUUUUUCUAAAGGUUUUUAUUUUUGGAAUUUCUUUAAGUUUAUUAUUAUUUCUUUAAAAGUUUAUUUUAUAUUUUUUAAAGAUUUCUUGUUAUUUUUUUUGGGAUUAGUUUGUGACUUCUUUAUAUUUUUUUAAUAACUUCUUUUAAAUUUGUUUUGGAUUGGUCAAAAUUCAAUCACGAUUUUUAAGGUCUACUUAAGGUUAUUUAAAAUUCUAUUAAACUUGUUAAGAUUCAAGCACUUACAUUAUUUAUGCAAUAGCAAUAAAGCAAUAAUUGCAAGGAAGCUUUGGCAAUCAAAGCAUUGUAAGCAGUGGUUAAUAAAAUUGACCAAUUUAAUCAAAGAGAUAUUUUAAAGUAUUUGAGAUAUUAUGUAUGAAAAAUAGAAUAGAAUCAAGUUUCAAAAAAUAAUAUAAUUGAGCUAUUUAAACUUGCUAUAAUAUCAGAUAUUAGAGAACAUAUUUAAUCAAUUAUAGCAUAUUUUGAGGAUUCAUGGAAGUCAUUUUUAUAUGUAUUAAAGGACAAAUAUUUUUUAAAGAUAUUGAUCAAUCCAUGGAAGUUGAAGAUGCUAUAGAAUUACUUGCAAAGAGAGAAAGGAAAAAUGAUAGGGUUAAAAUUCAAUGAGUUGGACAAGUACCUAAAAUUCAAGUGCCUACUUCAUGAUCAACAAUACAUAUUGGUUAACUUUCAUUGACUACAUCAAAAAAAGCAGACAUGGAAUUUGAAGAGAUUAUAUAUGAGAUACAAAAUCUUCAAAUCAAAAUUGCAAGGCUUAAAAAAAAAACUUCUAUAAUAAAUUCAAAUGCUAUUUUUAAAUAAAGAUACAUGUAAAGAUGUAUUUGGUGUGAUGAUGAUUCUCAUUCUCAAAAAGAUUAUAAAGAAUUCAAUGAAAUAGUAUAACAAGGUAUUAUUUUCUAAAAAGAUGGAAAGAUUUUAAGUACUCACCAACAUACAUAUUCAUAGGUAAAAAGAAAAUUAUAGGAAGUUAUUUCAGCUACGAAAGUUGAAAUUUUCUUUUUGAUUGAUGCAAUAAUAGUGAUUAAAAUGGAUUGUUUGUCUUCACUUAGAAUGAUUAUUAAUUACUCAAUAUCAAAUAUUACAAUAUUGAGAUGAAAUGCUUAUAUCAAGUCAUUAAAUUUGGAGUUUAGGCAUGUUAUAGAAAAAGACAAUUAGGAAGUAGAUGCAUUAUCUCAUACAAAAUAUGAUAGAAAAGAUGAGAUGAUUGAAGAUAUUGAUGAUGUAGAUACAAAAUUUUAUUUGUAUUCAUAAUUGUACAAGAAAAAUAAGUUAUUUUAUGAAAAAUAUUAUGAAUAAAAGUUAUUGGAUAUUGGACAUUAUUUGAGUAUAUGAAUUAAGUAUAUUAAUUGAUCAGUUAAAAAAUUUAAAGAGAUGAAAAAAAAAGCAUAUAGGUUCAUAUUAUAAGGAGGAUUUCUUUACAGUAGGCUUAAAUAAAAUAUUAGACUGCCACAAUGAAUAAUAGAUACCAAAAGAGAUCAAAAAAUUUACUCAAGGAGUUUUAUAAUAGCCUAUCGGUAGGGCAUAGAGGAAUUUGGCUACUUUUGCUAAAUUGAAAGAAUAAUAUGAGUAGGAGAAUAUAUACUGAGAUUUAGCUUUAUUUGUAGAAUCUUGUGUAACUUGUCAGAUAUAUUCAAAUAUAUAAUAUCAAGAUAGUCUACAUCUAAUAUAUCUUUUAGAUAUUUAUUUUAAAUAGGUUGUAGAUUUUAUUAUUAUAUAAAUGGGACUAUGACAAAUGAGAUAUUUAGUUUUGACUCAUGAAGAUUUAUCAAACCAAGUAGAAGGCAAGGUACAAAAAAUAAAGUUUACAUAGGAAAUUUGUAGAUUUUUGCUUGAGGAUGUUAUUUGUUGCUAUAGAUUUGUGAAAAAAAUCACUACAAAUUGUAAAGAAUUGGAUGCAUAUAAAGCUCAUGAAUUCUAUAAGAAAUAAAAAAUUAAAUUAUCAUUGACUACUACUUAUAAUUCAAAAGUAAAUACAAAGAGUGAACUUAAAUAUCUACCAAUUAUAAAAGUCUAUGUUAAAGCUUAUAAUAUAAGAAUGAAGGAAUGGCCUCAACUUUUACUUUAUGAAUUAUGGAUUAUUCAAAUAACACAUGGUUUAGUAACAAGAUAUAUGCUAGUAGAACUCAUGACAUUUCAAAAGCCUAUUAUAUCAAUUAAAGAACAUGUGCCAACUUAGAAUAUGCUACCUUGAGAAGUUGUAUUGACAAGAGAAGACUUUUUAACUAUUAGUAUUUGGCAACUUAAACAAAGAUCUAAAGAUAUGGAACUAGCAUUGAAAAGAUUAUAAAAAGCUAGGUUAGAGAGAAAAGUUCAAUUUGAUAAACAACAUCGAUUGAGACCAAGAGCAAUUGAAGAAGGACAUUAGGUACUUUUUUAUGAUAACAAUUUGAAUAAACAAUACAAUACUUUGUGAAAGUUUUUAAAACAUUGAUUUGGACAAUAUAUGGUGGUAAUAGUCCAUGAUAAUAUCACAUAUUCAUUGAAGGAAUUGGAUGGCACAAGAUUGAAGAUAUCCAUGGUUGAAAAACGAGUGAAGAUUUUUAAAAGACAAAAUAGAAAAUUUAGUGUGAAGGAUCAUGUUAAAGAUAUCAAUAUUUUUGAAGAAGAUAAUUGUAUUGAAAUGUGAAAUGGAAGUGUAUCGAAUUUGAGAAAUGAAGAUGAUCACUACCUUUGAUUUGGCAAUGAUACCAGAAAUUAGGGAAAUGGUGCAAUAGUUGUAUGCAAAGGCUAUAUCAUGGAAGAAAUUUGAAGAACUCUUGAAAGACGAAUUUUUUGAAGAAGAUUCAGAAAGAAUGACUAAGGUUAUUUUUUUGGAGUAGAUUGAGCAUAGGCCAGGGAAUAAAAUGGCUCCAAAUGAAUUAGUCAGGGAAUUUGAAAAUAAGUUUGAGCAAUUACCACGGCGAGAGAGGCAACUAUUAGAAACAAGGAAAACUAAGUUAUUUUUGCAAGCAGUUGUUGACUAUAUGGAAGACAAGCUUCUCUUUUAUGUAGCAGAUAAGAUAUUUCAGAAUAGUUUUACAAAUAAUUAGAAGCUAGUAAAAGAGAUAGUGGGACUUUUAGCUAAACAACAGAGGAUAAAGACUUAUAAUUUAAUAUCAAGGUUGGAACCAGUACUUACAUCUCAGAAUCAAGGACCACUUGAAAGGAUGAUCAAGACUGUUAAUGAUGGUACUCUUGAAGAAUUGAUCAAUGGCAUACAAGAUUUGAAGGUGGAAAUGACUGAGUUGAAGAAAUCCUAGAUAGAAAAUUCAUCAAAGACAAUUGAAGGCUCAAAGGAAUUUGUAGAGAGAUGUAUAUGAUGUGACAAUCCAAACCACAAGCGUGAUGAAUGUGACAGCUAUAAAGGUGUAAUCAAGGAUAGUAUUGUAUAUUUCAAAGAGGGUACGAUAAGACUCACAAGGUGAGAUGAGCCUUUAAAGACAAAUUUUGGAAAGGGUGGCAUGAAAAAAUUGAUGGAUGAACAAAUAUUAAAGAAUAAUGCCAAAGAAAGAGAAAGAGGUGAGACUUACUCUAUUACAGUUGAACAAAAAGCAGUUAAGGCUUAUUCCUUACCAACUAUAGAAGUUAUGAUCAAAGGAGCUGAAGCUAUAAGAAAAAUGAUUGGAUGAAAUAAUCCAAUUGAUGUUAUUAAUAUUAAAGCAUAUUUAUGUGGAAAAAAAUAUAAUGAUGAUCUGCAUGAUGCCAUAAUUGAGGAAAAAAGAGGCAGAACUAUUCAUGAGGAGGAUGUUGAACUUAGAAGCAAGAAGAGAUCUCCAAGUAAUAAAGAAGCUUAUGAAGGACAAAAGCUAGUUAAGGUGUCUUCUUUUGCUCAUCCUGGAGAUAUAUCAAUACCAAAGGAAUGGUGGGAGAAAGACAAAGAGAAAGAGAAGGAUGACACAUGGAAAUCCAAAGUUGAAGCUAUUAUGGUGGAGGCAUUGAAUACUCACACAAUAAAAGAAGAAAAAGAAGAAAAAAAAAGAAAAAGGAGAAAUUGGCCAAGUAUUUAUUCUUAAAUGUGAUCCUAUGAUUAAUAAUGGCUACAAAAAGGAAUAAGAAAUUGGCUCUAAUGAGGUUCAAGAAGAAGAGGUUGCAGAAAUAGAAGAGUUUUUGAAUGAAGAAAUUGAAAAUGAGAUUUUAUAAAUAUUUGCUAGAAUAAAUAUGAAUAAUAAGGGAGAUAUUAUGAAUACAACAUGUAUCCAAAAUCAAGGUGAAUUUGAAUAUGGAGGAGCACAAGGCUUAAAAAAAGAAGCCCAAACCAUCCAAAUUCAAGAAUGCAUGGUUGAAGAAAUAUUAAAUGAAAAGAUUGUUCACAAGAAUACAAAAGUACUUAUUUAUACUCUUAACUAUAACUUUGAGUGUGAUAAAGAAGGGAAGGUGGAUUAUUAUCAUUUAUUUUGGACAAAAGUAAAGCUUGAAAAGCUUGAAGAUAUGAUUUUAGGUUUGAUUAUUCAUGACUCUAAGAAAAAAAUCAUGUCUAGGAGACUUUUUGAUAGGAGAAAAUGGUCUAUUGAUAUCAAGCAAAAAUAGAUAUUGAGAGUUUCAAAUAAUAUGGAAGAUAUGAGAAUAGAGAUUUCUAAUGGUAUUUUAGACCACCAAUAUAAUACAUAGAAGAAAUUUGCUUAAAGACAGUUUGAGUCAUAUAUAGUUGCAACAAUGCAACACAAUGAAACACAUAUAUUUUGAGAAUUAGAUGGUACAAUAUUAAAGAUACUUAUAUUUGGAAAGUAGAUCAAGACAUUUAAGAGAAGAGAUGGUAGAUUUAUUUCAAGUGAUCUUCCAAAUUUUAAAACAUUAAAUUUAGAUCAAGUGGAAGAUGGAAAAGAAAUGGGCAUAAUGAAGCAAAUAAAUUUGGUCAUAUUGGCACAUGCCGAAAGAUGUGCAAGUUUGGAGGGGGUGGAUGUCGUACUGUAAAUGCUUACAGUAUGUAAAAAUUAGUUAAAACAUAAUAUAUAUUAAUAAAUCUAGAUGUGUAUUAGAGUGGCUAGUAGAUUAAACUAAAAGGAGUUGGUAUAAGAAACUUUACUUUUUUUCUUUACUUAUUUUGAUUUUGACAUUAAAAAAAAUAUAUAUAGGACCUAAAUGUUUAGUAUGAAGCCUUAGGAGAAGGUGGAAGCCUAAGGAUGAAAAUCUAAACUAGUAGGAGGCUAAUUGGAAGGGAUGAAAGCAAGGCAUGGACAGAUGAAGGCAAGGAAUGGAGAACUUCAUCCCUAUUGGUCGAAUACCAUGUCCAAUGGGCUUUGAGGAGGCUGUCCGCAACCUUAACAAGGAUUUUGGCGAAUUCAAAGAGGGCAUUCGGAGAUUAGAAGCUAGGGUUGUAAAGUUUAGGAUUUGGGGUACAAUUAGUAUGUAAAAAUUAGAGGAUUUGGAAUUAGGGUAAAGAAGUUAUAGCCGUUUGAAGUUAAGGUAUUAAUUUAAGACAUAUUGUUACUCUUUUGAGGAUACGAGGAGUUGUACAACAGCUUUUGAAGAUUGGAAGGUGUGAAUGGAAUGGCGAUUUUAAGACCUACAUCUUUUAUAAAAAAUUAUUACUUUUGAAGUUUAUGUGAAGGAGUUAUAAGGAGUUGAAAGCGGCGCUUCCAAAUCAAAGGCAAUAAGUGAGCGAUUUUGUUUAUAGUAAUAGUUGGAGCCAUAACUUGAGUUUUCAAACGAAUUUUUUAUUCAAAAUUUUUGGAAAAUUUAACAUUUUGUGUUAAAAAGCUAUACAUACAAAUUUUGUGGUAUUUGAGCUUAUAUUUUGUGAGAUAUAAAGAAAAUUGCAUGCGGAUGUAUAAAGACAAGGAUUUGAAGCGACUGUUAGGAUUUUUAAGAUAUCUCAAGUUCCGCAAUGAAUUUGCAAUUGAAAUUUGUUGUAGAAGUUAAUAAAAAUACAUUAGUAUCUCAUAUAAAAUUUGAGUUUGUUUGGACAAUCGGAUUAGGAGAUAUGAGCUGUUGAAGUUUGGAAAAAUUUCCACAUAAAGAUAUACAAGGUUUAAAGGAUUUAUCAUAUUUUGGGUGUUUUUGCUUACUUGAGGCUUGUGUAUUUAGUGUAAUUGCUCAAAAGGAAAAAUUUAUAUAUAAACUUAGGGCUUCCCUUAUUUUGAAGCUUGAUUGAACGAUUAGUGAUAGCCAAAAGCCCAGCGUUUUCUUGAGGCAAAUUCUUUCUACUCUGACAAUGCCUUUCUUGUUUUUGGUCUUAUUUCUAGAGACUUUAGUUUUCUUGUUUUUAACAAAAAAUAUUCUAGUGUAAUAUUAUACCAUCUUUAAGUGAUGAUUUAGUCUUUUUGAAUGACACAAAAGUGUAUUGAUCUUUAGUUCAUUGAGAUUCAUUUCCUUGACAUCCAUUAACAUCAAAAAAAGACAUUGUAUGCUUGAAAGGUUGCAUUCUUUGUAUACUAUUGGAGAAAAAUGUAUUGCAACAAGAUUUUUUAUUUAGUUAGUAAUAGUGGUAAGCUUACACAACAAUCUUCUAAAAGAUAUAUGAAAUGAAGAUUUUUUGUAAAAAUUAAUUAGUAAUAAAAUAAGAUACUUACAAUUUGACUAAUACACACUAAUGAAUCAUUAUUAUUGCCACAUAUUUGCUAAUUAGAUAGUAUAUGUAGAAAAAAGAGUGAAGUAUUUUUCUCUCUUGUAAAGGUAAAGGUUUUUUUUUUUUUUUUUUUUUUUUUUUUUUUUUAAUUCUUGUUUCAAGAAUAUCUAGUCAUUUUAUCUUUGGCAAUAGCCAUUUUAGUCUUAAUAUUAUAUCACCUUUGAGUGAUUAUUUAUUUUUUCAAGUGACAUAAGAAUAAAUUAAUUCUUUGAUUUUUUGUAAUUUAUGUCCUUGAUACCAAAUACAUAUAAAGAUAAUGUCUUCUUUAAGAGAAAAAUAAUUGUUAGUGAUGAUGGAUUAUGUGAUGGUCUAAGCAAUCGAAGUAAUGGUAGAAUUUAGAAUUUUGAGCACAAUAUUUUAAGUCCAUAGAUUAUUUAAGAUGAUUCUUUUGAUGACACCAAAUAAGAUGGAGGCCUUAACUAUGGAAUAAUAUUGUGUGCUUAAUAAAGCAACAAAAUCAAUCUUGACAUUAUUAAAAAAUAUAAAUAACUUAUUACUAAGACUUCUAUAAAUUCCUAUGCUAAGAGAAGGUGGUAAUAUCUCCUUUGUACAAGUUCAUAUUUCAAAUAUUAAACUUUGAUUUAGAAGUUAAAAGAAGAAGAAAAAAUUAGAUAAUGAAGAAACAUAUGGUGGAAAGAAUCUAAUAUUGCUAAGACCUAGUAGACUCAAAGUUCUAUGACAAAGACAAAAAGUUGUUCAAAAUAAAGCGUAUAUGAAUGAGACUAUUUAAAUUGUGCAAAGAAGCAUGUUUAGAGCAUAGUAAUCUACAGAUAUUCUUUAUUGGAAUUACCAAAAUUGAGUAAAAAAUUUGCUAAUAUACGAUAUUAAAAGAAGAUAAUAUUAUUAUACUAUAUUAAAAAUGAUGCAAUGUUGACCAAGAUGUAGAAUUGUUCUACAACGAUUUAGAUUUUUAUUAGAGUGUAGAUGCAAAAUUUGGUGCUCCAUAUAAAGAUUUGAUUUGAUAAUAUUUCAUAUGUUGUAUUUAAUAUUCUAUAUAAUAAAAGAUUCAUUUUUAUUGUGGUUUUUACAAUCACAAUAUUAUGGUUAUUAUAUAUUUUUUUAUUUUUAAAUACUUGGAUACAUAAAGCUUGUAGAAAAUAUUAUAUGAUUUUCAAAAUAAUAAUACUAAAAAAAUCAUAUAAUAUCUUACACCAAAAUAAUACUUUAGGAAAAAACUUAAUUAAAUGAGUUUAAUUAAUUUAUUUUUAUCAAAAUAUAGUAAUAAAAUUUUAAAAUAUUUUCAACAUAGUAUGUUUAAAUUAAAUUUUUAUUAAAAAUACAAAAAAAACUAAAAUGUAGCCAAUCUGUAUUUUAUUUUUUUAUACAGAGAAAAUAUCCAAUGAUGAAUCCUUGUUUAUAAAAUAUGUGUUUGAGAAAAAAAAUAAUGAGUAAAUUUUUUGAAUUGCAAGAAUUCUUUGUGGAAACAAAAGUAUCAUGCACAUUGAGUGCUGUUGUGUAUGAGAAUAAAAAAGUUAAUCUUUGAAGCAAGAGUGAUGGUUGAAAAUUGGGAUUGAGAGGCAGCCCCUGAACAAACUGCAGCACCCAUGUGAAUGUUGAUCAGUGCGGGUCCAAUGAGGAAUGGGUUCUGAGUUCCCGACCUGCCUCCCUCCUCCAACCUGCCCGCUCCAUCGUUCCCCUACGUACCCUCCCUUCGUUCCCAGAAAUCCGAUCGGCGGUUAAGAUUGAAUCUGAGCGGCCGCUCCGAUCCGACGGCCCACGACGGCGGAGCCAGGCGAUUGAGUUGGGAGGUUUCUGCGACACAAUCCUACGAGGCCCCACGCAUGCUUCCGCAUCAACGGAAAUUCCUGAAAAGCUCCGAUCGAGCAUUGCACACACACUCUCAAACAAGCUCUUUCAGCUUCUCCGCUCACCAACCAGGCGGACGAUCAAUCUUAGCAUCUCCGCUGCAAGAUCUCGCAGCUGUUUACCAAGCUGGGAGAUCGACCGUGUGACGCACCCACCACCGAAUUUCUCUGAACCUGCAAGUGAUGUCGGUUCCGAAGUACGUGAACAUGACAUGACAUGAGUAUCAUUGCUCUAGGGUUUUGAGAUUCCGCUACGCUGGGUCCCAUGCUCUGAUUCGUCGUCCAUUGCUGGGUCUUCCUCCACCAGUAUCACGACGUCGCCUGGACUGAAUUUUGUGUCUCAGACUGCAGAGUCGGACGCCGGUUGUUGUUACGCUUCCUCUGCCGAUUCUCUCCUCGUCGUUUCCUUUUAUUCCUCUGGUGUCGUUCGGUACUCGUGUGUACGCUUAUGUGUACAGCGGGGUUUGCGAGGCUGCAUCCCUUUGAGACAGCGGUGUGGCGUUGGCAAAGAGGGUGCGGUAUUGAGGGUGGAGGGAGACGUUCACCCGUUGAAUUUGUUCAGUUUUCUCAUCUUUCUUUCAGAGUUUUUUCUUUUUUCUUUUUAUAUUUCAUUUCAUUUUUUUUUUUUCUUUUUUUUUUUUCUUUUUUCUGUAUUUUUAGUGUAACAUUCUCAUGUGGAGUUAAAAAUGCUAGGCGCCACCAAAGGUUCUUUUAGACUUACAUUUGAAAGUUAAUAAGCUUUGCUCCCUUGUUGGGUUAAUUUUGUGGGUUUCUGUUCCAACUCCUUCUCUCUGGUCUGGGUCGUGUAGAAAUGCAGCUGGAUAUAUGUUUCUUUUAGCCACGGGGAUAAGACGGGAAGUCUUUAGUUUCGGUGCCGAGGAAAUGCUUUACAGGAUUGUGGCAGAACUUGGUGACAAGCUUUCUCGAUAGAAUUGUUGACUGGUGACACUAUUACCCUCUCGCGUUUCUUCAGGUUUCAGAUUCUGUGGGUACAUUGACUUAGAAAUAGCAUGUCUAACAUUCUGAGGAUAUGCUACUUAGAUUGUUUUAGUGUCUGCGCUUGUAAAUGUUUCCUUUUGACACCAUGAAACGUUCUGAAGUUUCGGCCGCAUCUUUUUCGUUGCUUUUACAGUCGAAACCUAAGACAAUUUUCUAACAUCUUGAUCUUUGCCUCCUCUUUGCAGGAUGAGCCGAAUUCCUUCAUACGGACAACGUAGAAUGAUGUUUUAUCACAAGCGCCACUUGCUUGGAACAGGCUUCUUGGAAGUUUUAAAGGUUAGUAUAUGGUUAUGUAAAGCAUAGUGCACUGUGUAUCUACGAUAUCAAUGAGGGCUGUGCAAGAGUGCAGUUCACACAGUACAUUGUAACAGCACGCUUUACAUUGUUGUCUUGAUUCGUCCAAGAGGAUGAGUUCUUCUACAUCCUCGUCGGACCAGUCGAGUUCUGAUUCGGAAGACACAAUAGUUCAUCGUAGUCGACAGCGGAAAAGAUUGGCACGAGAGCGAUCUGAGUCAGACUGUGAUUCUGACUCUGGUUGUGACUCUGACCAUGUCACCUCUAGAACUCGUCUUAGAAAGACACGAAGGAGGACCGCGCAACAUUCCAGAACCUCCGAUGAGCCUGCUGAAGGUUAACUGUUACCAACCUUAGAUUUCACUUUUUUAGACUGCUUCUUGUUGUGAGGAUGAUGAGUCUUCCCAUGAAAUUUGCCAUUUGAUUUCUAAUGAGGAAAAGAACAUCAUCUCUUUUUGAGAUUCUUUGAGUCUUAGCAGAAAUUCUAAUAGAAGAAUAUGGAACUUUGUUGCCGUAGUUGCUGCAGAUAGACUUAGGACGAAGAAGAGAAACAAUGCUAGAGUGACGGAGGCAGUAUGGACACCAGCCAAGACGGUAAGGAUAACUUACGAUAUCGGAAUGAAACACGCAUGCAUGAACCCUGUGCAUGGGAAAGCCAUGACAACCUACACAGUGUUGCAUCUUGUAAGCUGUCCAUGGAAGAAUAACGUGAGCAUGAUGACCGCCACUCCACCUACGAACAAGUCGAAGCUUUACCAGUACUGCCACAAAUUGUGUGAGCCUUGCCUCAACAAGUAUGGGCCACGGUGCUUUAAGUGCGACCCCCCGGAAACGGAGAAGACGCCCUUACUUAACACGGUGUUCGGAGAGGAAGCCAUCACCAGCGUCAAGGAUUUCCUGGAUUCGGUCCAGAAAUGGCAGCAACGUCGAGAAAUUGCCGAAGUUCCUUUUCUUGUGCUACAUUGCACCGUGCUUGGUAAGGAAGCGAGGUUGAUACGCCAGAGGUUUGAUUUGCGGAGGUGGACUGUGGUGCACAUUGUUUACUCCGAUGUGCGAGACAAGAUGGAGCCAGGCGGGAGCGGCACGAACCUCGCGGAUUCCAAGUUCAAAGAUUCCUGGAUCACGAUCAUGAAGGAGAAAGUAUAUAUUCAGAAUCAGCCUAUGGUGUCAUUCUUCGGCAACAUUCUCUUGAAUAACCUAACUUUUGAGGAUUUUAAGGUGCACGACGUGAUGGUGAUGUACCAGCCGAAGAUCUUCAAUACCUUUGAAGCACGUGCGUUGAGGGCGGCCCUCAAUUCCUUGUACACAUACACCCCGACGUCCAAUGCCGAAAAUGAAGCAAGCGUCUCAUCCUUCGGUAGCUGUCUACACGAUGCAGUUGUGCACACGCAACGGACGCCGGUUACGAAAGAAGAUCAAUGCCUGUUUGAGAAUGGCAACAUCGUAGCAACCCAGUUCUACAAGAGCAUUACGGAGUACUUCGGAGGGAAGAUAGUUUCGGAGCUCGAGCAACGAGCUUGUCUUGGCCAGGACUUGAGAGUUGGAGAUGAAGGCUUGAAGGUGCCCUUCCACUGCAUGUACAUUGCUAGAGGAGGUGAAGUGAAAUUCCGGCGAGGCACCAAUGCAACGCAUGAUGUCGCUCGACGAGCUGGAGAUGCGCGCUCCCGGAUAUGCACGAGCGACACCUCCGCAUACGAAAUUGUGUGUUGGACAUCAUGUGGUGCACCCCAAGGGGGCGAUUUCGUCAUCCCCGGCUUGAUGUACAAAUUUCAAACUGAUCAAGGCAGCGCCCUCAUCUUUCGCCCGAAACGCUUCUUCCAUGCCACGCUUCCGGCGGAGAAUCGGGACUUAGGAAACGAAAAAUAUGCUGCAGCGUUUGUGACUCCAAAAUGAUAUUUGAUGCAGAAUGCAACGCUCAAAACCCUUGUAUACAUCAACGGCCUCCACUUAUCUGUAUGUGUUGGACGGGUAUUUUGAAUGCUUUCAAUGUCCACCAGUACAUGCAAUUGCUCAAGUUUGCCAUUGUUCCAGAUUUACCGAACCGAAUUGGUUGUCCAUGACCUCUUCGAAUCAUUACUCUCCGGAGUGAUAUUCAUUCACUCACGCUUCACACAGUCGAGGCAGGUGCAUACACAGCACUUCUUGAGAUACUCGUACUCUUCGCUUGCGUUUCAUUUGCCUGAGCAAGCUGUUGCCUAUAAUUCGUUUCAGCUCCAGUAGUGAGCGCCUCUUCGACUACAAGGCCCUUGCACAUACUUCACAAUUCACACAGGCAAAUUCACCUGGGUAUUCCAACAUUUACUGGGAACGCUGGAGGUUGAUGCACAGCUGCAUCCAUCCUAAGAUUUGACUAGCAACUGGUGUUCUCAAUGGUAAGGCACAGGAUGUAACGAUAGUUACUCAGUGGUGGCAUCGUUGUCACCGUCUUGAAGAGGCCACCAAGGUAAAUUAUCUAAGCUCAAAUUAUUCCUGGCUACAUUCCCAGCAUGCACAUUCUAGUAGCUUUACAUACACUCUACUAACAUAGCUGCACCUCCACAUCGCACCGAGUAUCCAUCAAAAUCACAUUAAAUAGAGCUUCAAAAACAAAACAUAGAGCUCCCUGGAUCACCGGGCAGGGUGUUAUUUCCCAUAAGGAUCACACGUCAUAGCACAACUAUGCAAAAAAUUAUGCCAAAUUGCACAUAUCAAGUCCCC